UUUUUUUUUCUAUUUAACAACUAAUUAAACGCGUUAGUUCAGAUCUGAACAGAAUUGUAAAUUAACAUGUCAGGUCGUCUGAGAGAUGCUAUAUGUCAUUUCCGACCUCAUUUAAAAUGCCUAGAUAGGUAGUUUAAUUGCGCUUCACCUCUUGCCAUGUUUAACAACAUUUAAUAUUGCCGUGUACCUAAUCGAGAUAGAACUAAAUAAUCUGUAUGUGGAGUUUCGUCAAUAUGCAAUGCGUUGCAUAUUGAACUUCACUUAAUGUGUAGUGUUUGGUUGUUGUGAAUUGUCAUGCCGUGACUUGCAUGUAUUCUUUUGUUCAUGCAUCAUAUGUGAUGUGCAUCGUGUGGUGAAUAUUGUGUGUUGAUGCUUGUUUCCGUUUUCCUCCGUCUCGUUAGAGUUCCGCAAGCGUGUCGGAUGUGAGGACCGUUCGACUACAUCGGUUCAUCUGCUUCACGGAGUCGUUCUUCUUUCAAGCGGGAUCUCAGGCAAGAUGACCAUUUCCCCAGAUACCAUUACUAUCAUUGCCAUGCUAGUUUUACCGUUUCUAUCGUUUAUGUCUCGUUGCCUACCACAUGUUAAAUAUCAGCCUCCCAACAUUGCCAUGUAAACCUUCAACCUAUUCACAACCUAGCUAACCACUGAUUGGCUAUGUUACCGCUUGCUUAACCCUGUGUUAGUGUUGCUAGUUGCAGGUGCAGUUGCUUCCAUGUGAUAACAUGGGUUCCUUGUUAUAUCACCAUAUUAAUGCUAUUUAAUUUAAUGCACCUAUAUACUUGGUAAAAGGUGGAAGGCUUGGCAUUUCUAGCCUGGUGUUUUGUUCCACCUUUGCCCCCUUAGUUUCGGCUACCGGUGUUAUGUUCCAUAAUUGAGCGCUCCUAACACGAUCGGGGUUGUUAUGGGGACCCCCUUGAUAAUUCGUUUUAGAUUAAAGUUGGUCUGGCAAGGCCCAACGUUGGUACUAUUUGCCCAACAUAGUAAUUUUGUUAACACUGAAAUGCAUAGGGAGUUAGCGCUACCCGAGGAGUAAUUCUACAUAAUACAGGGAGGACUAGUGUUGAUGGUGCUGGUCCAAAAUAGAGCACUAUGCGGGGCCAACCCAGGGCAACUUGGGUGAUUUCUAUCAGGCCACCGUAUGCGUCGCUCAUCGGUCGUGUCCUGAGAAUGAGAUACGUGGCUCCUAUCAGGAUCGUCGACAUGCCGGGCGGCCUUGCUGGAUUAGUUUUACCUUUGACGAGAUAUCUUGUGCAUCGGGAUUCCGGUGAUGCUUUGGGUAAUCUCAGAGUUGAGGUUUUCCACUACGGAGUCCUACGAGAUCGCGAGCUUCGUGAUCGAGGAUUUCUAUGCGGCUUGUGGUAAUUUGUGAUGGACUAGUUGGAGCACCCCUGCAGGGUUAAAUCUUUCGGAAAGCCGUGCCCGCAGUUAUGUGGCAACGUGGAAACUUUGUUUAACACUGGUUCUAUACAACUUGAAGUUAACUUAAUUGAAAUAUGCCAACUGUGUGCGUAACCGUGACUGUCUAUUUCGUGAGUUCCUUCUCCCAUCGAGGACAUGGUGGGGUUGUGUCUGACGUAGUUAGGUGUUGAGGAUCAUUCAUUUGAUCAUCAGUAGUUACGUCCGUUAUGCGUAGUUCUACCCUCCUCUUAUUUCUUGUACUCUUAAGUUUAACCACCUCAUAUAUGCUUAGCCGCUGCUGCAACCUCACCACUUAACCAUACCUCACCCAUUAAGCUUUGCUAGUCUUGAUACCUUUGGAAAUGAGAUUGCUGAGUCCCCUGUGGCUCACAGAUUACUACAACACCAGUUGCAGGUACAGGUAAAGGUUACUUGACGUGAGCGCGUUGAUUGUUCAUUUGGAGUUGCUUCUUCUUCUUCUUCUUCAUCGAUCUAGGAUGGGUUCCGGGCCGGCAGCCUGGGAUAGCAAGGAUGGACGUCGUUCUUCUUUUCUCGUUUGAUUUCGUCCAUAGUCGGACCCUGCUCUUCUUCAUGAUGUUAAUGUAUGGUAUUGUUGUGACUCUGAUGUAGCUUGUGGCGAGUGUAAGCCAAUUCUAUAUAUAUACAUCUUCUUUUCAGUACAUGUACUUGUAACGGUAUCCAUUCUUGCGACACAACAAGAUGCGCUUCUAUCCCUGACGAGGCCCUCGUGCCAAAUUGAGGAUAGGGUCGCAUCUUGGGCGUGACAAGUUGGUAUCAGAGCAGUACUGUCGUGGUUUUGUCACAGCAGAUGUCCUCGUGAAAGGACUUGAUGAUGGAGCCAUCGCACCUUGGUGGCGACUCAAAGGGGGUGAGCGAAAGCGAGACACAGAUUUACCCAGGUUCGGCCCCUCCUGAGGAGGUAAAAGCCUACGUCCUGCUUUGUGUAGAUUAAUGGUGGUUUCGAUUACAAGGAGGGCGUAACUCGCGUGACCUAGCUCUCGAUUCUCUCUAACCCGCCUGACCUUUCCCUGGGACUCGCCUUUAUAUACAGGUCAAGGCCCUAGGGUUUACAAAGUCCUGCUCUCCUACUCUUGGUAGUUUUCCUUAUCUCUAAGUCGUCGUGCUCUCCACGACCAGGAGCUUCCUUGGCGCUCCAUCAUCCACAUGGUCUUCUUGAACCGCCCUACCAUUCCCGGGCCGCUGGACGCAUGAUCUAAGGUGAGUCGCCCCUUUGGUGACCUGGCCCAUUAAGGGCGGGUUACCCACAGGUAACAUCCCCAACAUUAGGCCCUAGAUUGUCGUGAAUUCAUUCGUGUCAAUAAACUCCCUUCAACCUUGGGGCGACUCUCCUCAUUUCCAACCUUCGACGAACGUUGAGCCGCCAUUCGUGGCACUCUAAUCUGAGUCGCCAUACAGUAUUUAAUGGGUGUCGCCUCGUCUCCUCGGUUCCAAUCCCCAAACACUGUAACUGUCAGCGAAUCUUUCGCCCAUAAUUGCUUAUCCCGAAAAUCUAGGCGUCAGCAUUGCGUUUACUGACUUGUCGCCUCGAUUCCCGCAUUGACAGCCUCGUUCUCCGUUCCUGCUCUUUAAAUAGUAAGGGAAAUGGGGGAGAGAAGCCUCGUCGGCAACCCCCAUCCCACCUUCGUCUGCAUAUUCGUCUCCGCGCACCGGCUUCCCGGCAUCAUCCCCGAACUCCAGCAUCCCGGCGUCAUCCUCGGCUCCAGCGCCCGGCGUCAUCCCCAGCUCCCGGAGUCUUUCCCCAUCGACCGCGCUCUCCGGGCGGCAAGGAACAUGAAGCUCCGAGCCUUUGUUCCCGGCGGCGAUCCCCUGUUGCCAGGUACACUCCUUCCCUCUCUUAGGUGUAGACCGAGAACUCCAUGGCCGUAGCUCUCCUGCCAUCCAGCUCCAUAGCAGGAUGAACACCUCGAACUAUGUUAGAUCUGCUCCCCGUUGCAGCGAUUAGCUUUAGAUUGCAACAGGCAUCGACCAUUUUAAUCACGGCCUCCCACUAGUUCAAACCCAUAUUCUGUUGACCAACACUGUAGUUGUACUAUAUGCGCAGUUCAUCGCCAUUACUUCAGACGAUAUUUUCUUAUUUUAAUCUGUCCGUAGAUCCAUAGCUUACUGCCUGUCCAUAGAAACAUGUUUUUUCACCCAUUGAGAAUAUCUCUAAGGACAAGAACGUUUCCGAGAGUCGCCUUUUAACUUCAGCCUUCAUGGCGACUCAGUUUUAUUACUGUAGUCAGGACGCCUUUUCUUUCAGUCUGGAGGGCGAGUUAGAACAACCCCCGAAGGUACACUCGUAGAUCGCCCAGAUGACGGACUGCGAUGCACGUUAACUAUUGGGCGAGUUAUCAAACCCUUUGCGAACACCAUAGACCCGUAUCAGCGAGUUAGAAUAUUUUCUAAUCUUUUGCUGAGCCGCCUCGCACUCCGUUUUUUUGUAGUCAUGGCUAUUACGAAAUGUGACUGGUUGCCGACGAAAGUCGACGAUGCCACGCUCUAGAAAUAUGUUAAGGCGGGUAUCCUUGACAGUAAGGAGACUCUCGGUUGGAGAACCGCCCCGGGCGAGCUGAUUCCCAACCCCGCUCGAGGAGAACUAGUGAUCUUCACCGACUAUCUUGAGCGUGGAUUCAAGCCGCCCGAGUCAAAGUUUUUCCAGGACGUCCUGCAUUUUCUCAACCUCCAUCCUCAAGACCUAGGACCCAAUUCCAUCAGCAAUUUAUGCCAGUUCCAGGUCUUCUGUGAAGUGUAUUUGCAGAGAGAACCCAUGAUCCCCCUGUUUUGGAACUUCUUCCACUUAAACCGCCAGACCGAGUUCCCCAAUGGUCCCAACCACGAGCCUGGAAGAGUUAACAUCCAGAGACGCCACGAGCAUGGAUUCCCGGCAGUCCUUUUGCCCAACCACCCUAAAGGAUGGGGCGAGUCAUGGUUCUAUUGCCGAGAUACUUCUCCACUAGGCGAGAACCCUCUUCCGGGUUUCAGAGCAGACCGCUUGCCAAUGGAUUUCAAAUUUCCUGACAAGCUCACCGAAGAAGAAGAGUCGGAGUUCAUUCCACUCUUUUCAGAUCUGAAAUUCGUGUACAACAACGGGCUCAUCGGGAUCGACCUGUUCCGCUGCUAGAUAGAGUGGAAUAUCCUCCCCUUGAGCCGCCGCAACAGGUUGAUGUAUGAUUAUGAUGGCACUUUAGAGCAUCCACAACGCGCCAGUCACCGCCAACUUUCAGAGAGCGAAAUCGUCGGAGUCAUCAAGAGAUUAACCGACGAGUCUCUGGAAGAGUGUGCCAAGAUCGGCCUUAAAGGCUUCUGUCGUGCCAACCUGGUGCCACCAGUAAGAAUCUAAGCUGUCACUUGUCUUGUUUAUACUUAGCAACCUUCAUGGUUAAAGACCUGCCUCUGUUUAUCAGAAAACCGAUGUGUUUUGGCGGAGGGGUCCCAAAACCGCCCCCCCAAAGUCCACCAAGGUGCCAACCAAGAAGAAGAAGAUGGUGAGCAGGAAGAAAACCGCCACCAAAGAUUCAUCUUUUGUUGGCGACUCUCAUGCAGACGAGGCAAAUUCUGAGGUAAGGCUUUUUCCUUGUCCCUUCUCUAUAUGUUCUGACUUAAGCUUAUACCAUAUAUCUUAUCAUGUAGGGUGAUGACGAUGAGAGCAAGAAUGAUGCAGUCGAGGUAAUUUCCAUUUCAUUCGACUCACCUUCUUCUUCCCCUAGACCAGCCAGGCGGAUCUGCGGAAAAGUGCCCAUAUGUCAUCCUCAUGCUUAUAUGGACCCUAAUUUCCUUUUGAAGAAAGCAAGAUUCACCUCCUCUCGCAAGACCCGCAGUCGCUUUGGCGACUUGGUCAUUGGACUACCCGAGAAGACGAGCGGUCGGAAACGGACCAGUGAGGUACGCCUUUGUCUUGUUAUAUCUUUUGACGUGUGAAAUAUAACCCGCCAUUUUUGUGACCUUCAAGUCUUUGUCCUGUCAGACUUCUCCUCCUACAUCUGGCGACUCGGCCAUCUCUGCUCUCCCGCCGAUGGUUCGCGUACAAGGGUAAGUCUUCGCUGUUAACCCAAGCUUUCUAAACAAUAACAUGUGCUUUUAACCUUGGCGCUUUAUCGCAGGGCACAAGCGAAGAAGGGGAAAACCGGCGACUCUCCUUCUGCACAAUAAACAUCUGAUGCCUUAGGCACGGGCACAUCUGUUCCUGAGGCUGAAGGGGAGCAAAAGGCGGCUUGCGACAUUCCUCCAGGCGAUAUUCCCGACGCCCGGGAUGACUCGCCCGUCAUUUUGAAAGAGACCGCUGGUCAGAGUAACCCGCCAAGCCCUCUCAAGGCGACCGACGACCCAGACGUCGUGGUUACCAGCUUUGGCUACUCUACUCCCCCAACUGUCGUGCUCUCCAAACAUACUUCGAAGGCAAGUCGCUUUUCCCCUGAUGGCGACUCAGAACCCCUCAAACUUCCUCAAUACGAGAAGCUGGAAUUCGACCAGCUAUGCUCCAGCUUCACAACUCACUUGGAGAAGGAUUUUGAGCUGAACAAAAGCCUGCUCCGCCUUAUGAGGACCAAACACGAGGUAUGCGGAUAUAUGUUCCUAUACUCAUUAGCCUUCCAAGGGCCAGGUCAUCUUUUUUCUAGAUGAGCCGGGUCUUUGCAUUAGAAAACUUCAACCUGUAGCCCCCAAGGGUUGGGUCAUCUUUUUUGAAGAUGAGCCGGGUCUUGUAAUUGAAAACUUCAACCUGUAGCCCCCAAGGGUCGGGUCAUCUUUUUUAGAAGAUGAGCCGGGUCUUGUAAUAGAAAACUUCAACCUGUAGCCCCCAAGGGUCGGGUCAUCUUUUCAGAAGAUGAGCCGGGUCUUGUAUGUGGUAUAACUUUUUGAUAAAAAAUCACACAUUAGCCCCCAAGUGUCAGGAGUAUUGCUUGCAAAAAUUCUGAGACUUGUCUCCCCAAAUAUUAUGUGCAGGAGUCUAUGGCCCAGAGUGAGGCGGCGGUAGCCGACUUAAAGAAGAACUUGGCUAGUCAACAGCAUGCUUACUCCAGGCUGGAGGCUAAAUUCCGCUUGCUGCAGGCCGAUUUAGAAAAAAUGAAGGUUGACGAGGAGAAAUUUGAGAAGAAAGCCAAUGCUGACCAAGCCGCCAUCUUGAAGCGUGCUCAACAAGCAGAAGAGAAACUGGAAGCCGCCCAACAGGAGCUGACUCGGUUAAAGAAGCAUGUAUCCAAUAUGACAGUCAUCAUGUUUGGUAAGCUUGAUCGUUGAACUCUUUUGACUAACCAGGUUGGGAUCAAAAAUCUCCAAAUACUUAUGUCCCUGUUGCAGGUGCCCGAGCCGUCAAGCUACCAGACGACUGUAUGACUAAAUUGAGAGCCAUAUACACCUUUGCUGAGCAGCUGUACAUGGGAGGCGUGUUAUCAAUCAAGGCAGUGAUGGGCAGUAAGGGACCAACAAUGACCACCGAGCAAAUGCUCGGCUUCUUGUCCACGCUGCCUCCUCAAGUAGAAGAAUUAAAGAGAUCGGCCGCCCGAACAGGUGUGUUGAACACCCUAAGUUAGUGCCUUGCAUAAGCCCCGGAGCUCAAAACCGAGGAAAUAGUCGCCGGCUACCCUAAGAUCAAGGUCGAUGGGCCAGAAUGCACCGAGGUGGAUUAUCAGCGGACCAUCCUAGAAUCUCGCUAUGUGGCGACUCAACUAGCGGCGAGUUUGGAUCUGAAGAAGUAUCAAGCCGCCUAUGAUGAAAACAAAAAGAAGGUGACGCCUCCUUCAUAUCAAAUUGCUAGCCUGGUUCCCAGCCGCCCCAGGAAUCCUUUUAAUCUUGACUUGGACGUUUCUCACUUCCUCGCUGAGGAAGACGAGUUCAUCGCCUUGUCCAAGUGUAACUGGAAACUGGGUGACUUAUGAAUUGAAGGCGGAGAAAGCUCAAGGCAAGGCGACUCGGCGGCGGCUUGACUCGCCCAUGGAUCCUUCCUUUGCUGGGAAUCAUACCCAUUUUGGCCAUGGGAGCCAUGUAAUUAUCUUGCUAGUGUGUGUGAAACACCAAACAUGCCAUAUUGUCUUUUGGAUGGAACCAUUUGUAGUCCCUGAACCUUUUCAUGACUCGCCUGCAACUUUUUCAUAAACUCAGAAAUGGCUCCAAAUUUGUCCUGGUCUGUUAGGAAAACAGUAGCUUACUUCAGCAAGUGUAUGUCCAGGAAUAAACCAGCCCCCUAAAUCUUGGCGAGAGAUAAAUCAGCCCCCGGGUUAGGGAAAAACAUGAACCAAGGCGAGUUAUAAUCAAGACCAGUUCAAAGGAAAAUUUUAUCGACUCAAUGAGUUUCGAUAGGAUAAGACGAGCCUGCAUAACUCUAGUGUUACCCUUAGGAAGCUUUUUCAAAAAAGCCUUGUUAUUUUAGACCGGCUGAUCAGGCGCGAGUCAAGCAUCUAUGAAGCAGGUUCAAUGAACCAAUGGUUUCUCUAUUUUCCAUGUGUGACUCUGGCCGGUACCUUUUAUGUUUUAACCAAGGCGAGUUUAGGGUCCAAAUAACGGAUUGACUCGCCUCGAGUACAUAGGUCCGUGUGGCGACUUGUUCAACACAUAGUCCAGUAUAACCAUUUGUAAUGCGGUAAUUUUUUGCUAGCCAAGAGGGUAUUCAGGCUGAACUCAAUGAGUGGAAGCCCCCAAGUGACUUAUGGUUGAGGAAGAAACCAGGCAUAGGAUUACAGAAGCGUAUACGCUCUUACUGUAAAACAACUUGGGGACUUGUAGCCCCCUGAGUAAGCCGGUUCACUUCUCAAAACCAUAUAAGGCGCCUAUGUUUGAACCAUGCAACAUGGCAAUUUUUGGUCCUCUUUGGCUUAACAGCAUCCAGUUUUGAAAUAAGUGCAGCAUGGCGACUUAUGCUCUCUGAUGCUGAUAGCGUCCAUGUUUGGGCGACUUAUAGAACAAUAAAGACUCGUGCUUUCAAAAGUUGAAAUGGCAAAGGACCCCGAAAUUCGUGGGUGCCGGCUUUAUUGCUUUCAUAAUUCAUUGGUUACAAAAAACUUGAUAAAAGAAGAAAGGGAGCUCAUGGCUCUAUGUAUAGUAAGGCCGCAGAUGGGCUAUGUUCGAGGGGCGAAUUGUGUCAACCUCCGUAGUUGGCCGAUCUGGACGAAGAUCCAUCAAAUAGUAGGAGCCGUUCCGAAGAUUCUUGCUGACGACAAAUGGUCCCUCCCAUGGAGGUGACAACUUGUGCAUACCGGUAUGAUCUUGAAUCAAACGGAGCACUAAGUCGCCUUCUUGGAAAGCUUGACUCUUGACCCGGCGGCUAUGAUAACGACGUAAAUCCUGUUGGUAAAUCGCCAACCGUGACGCGGCCAAGUCACGUUCCUCCUCCAAAGCGUCCAGCGAGUCUUGCCGUGCUGACUCGUUGUCCUGCUCCACGUAAGCGGCGACUCGCGGAGAAUCAUGUUUGAUGUCGCUUGGUAACACCGCCUCCGCCUCGUAGACCAGAAAGAAAGGAGUAAAACCUGUGGAGCAGUUUGGAGUCGUCCUGAUACUCCACAGAACUGAUGGCAAUUCCUCAACCCAAAAUCCUGGCGUGCGUUCCAAGGGCACCAUGAGUCGGGGCUUAAUCCCUCGUAAUAUUUCCUGAUUCGCCCUCUGUGCCUGUCCAUUAGACUGGGGGUGCGCCACCGCGGAAACAUCAAGUCGGAUAUGUUCUCGUGAGCAGAACUCUUGCAUUGCACCUUUGGAAAGGUCGGUACCAUUGUCUGUAAUGGUACUAUGUGGAUAUCCGAACCGGAAAAUUAGCUUCUUCAAGAAUUUGACAGCCAUCUCGGCGUCACAACUGCUAACAGGUUCUGCUUCCACCCAUUUGGUAAAUUUGUCAGCCGCCACCAACAGAUGAGUCCUUUUAUUAGACGACAUUUUGAAAGGGCCGGCCAUAUCGAGCCCCCAGACUGCAAAUGGCCAGGUGAUUGGUAUCAUCCGUAGUUCCUGAGCCGGCACAUGCAUCUGACGCCCAAACUUUUGGCGGCCAUCACAUCGGCGAACAAUCUCCUCCGCGUCUGUGUGAGCCGUCAACCAAUAAAACCCAUGCCUGAAGGCUUUAGAAACCAAGGAUCGGGAUCCAACAUGAUGACCACAGUCGCCCGUAUGAAUCUCAUUGAGGAUCAUACAACCUUCCUCAGAAGAAACGCAUAUUUGAAAUACUCCUGAGGUGCUUCGCCUAUGUAACUCGUCAUUAUGUAUGACCAUAGAUUUGCUCCGACGGACAACUUGGCGAGCUAGCAGCUCGUCGGCAGGUAACUCGCCUCUGGUGAGAUACGCCAUGUAGGGAAUCGCCCAAUCCGGAGUAGCGUGAAGAGCCGCCAGGUCUUCUUCCGAAGGCAGUUUUACAGACGGGUUAUAUAAUAUAUACAAAAAGACAUUGGGGGGAACCGGCUUACGCUGCGAACCAAGGCGGGAAAGAGCGUUCGCUGCUUCGUUAAGCCGUCGAUCGAUGUGAUCCACUUGAUAGCCACUGAAAUGACCCGCCACAUCCGACACAGCCCCUCUGUAAGCCGCCAUCAAAGGGUCUCGUGAAUCCCAAGUGCCAGAAACCUGCUGCGCCACCAGAUCGGAAUCGCCCAAGCAUCUCACUCUCGUGAGGUUCAUCUCCUUGGCGAGUCGCAAACCAUGAAGCAGAGCUUCGUAUUCUACUGCAUUGUUAGUACAUGAAAACAUGAGUCUGAGGACAUAGCAAAACUUGUCACCGUGAGGCGAAGUUAUCACCACGCCAGCCCCCGAGCCUUCCAACUGUCUGGACCCAACAAAGUAAACGGUCCAAUAUGUAAGAUCUGGUCUUUCCUCAGGGAUUUGUAACUCGGUCCAAUCAUUAAUGAAGUCCACGAGCGCUUGAGACUUGAUAGCUGUAUGAGGUGUAUACUGAAUCUGAUGAGGACCCAUCUCGAUGGCCCAUUUAGCAAUCCGUCCAGUGGCUUCUCGGUUAUGUAUGAUAUCGCCGAGGGGAGCGGAGCUAACGACCAUGACCGGGUGUUCCUGAAAGUAAUGCUUCAACUUUCGACUCGCCAUGAAUACCCCAAAAACCAAUUUUUGCCAAUGCGGGUAAUGUUGCUUGGAGAGGGUAAGGACCUCGCUAAUGAAAUACACCGGCCUUCAGACGGGGUAUUCCUUCCCUUGCUCCUUUCGCUUGACAACUAUUGCCACGUUAACUGCUCUGGAAUUGGCUGCAAUGUACAGGAGCAUAGGUUCUUUGUCUGCCGGAACCACAAGCACCGGCGGGUUAGCUAAUUGCUGCUUCAAGGCUUCGAAAGCAUCGUUGGCCUCAUCUGUCCAUACGAAACGAUCGGUCUUCUUGAGCAGCUGGUAGAGAGGGAUGGCCUUCUCCCCAAUGCGACUUAUGAAACGGCUCAAGGCCGCGAUUCGACCCGCCAUGCGUUGUACUUGGUUAACGUUGGCUAGUUUCCCAAGCGAAGUAAUCACUGGAAUCUUCUGUGGGUUGGCCUCGAUUCCUCGUUCUAACACCAAGAAGCCCAAUAGCUUCCCCGCGGGGACACCAAAUACGCACUUGGUUGGGUUAAGCCUCAUCUGGUAGACACACGGGUUGUCGAAUGUUUCUUUGAGAUCCUCCAACAGCAUCACCUUGCGGUGAGAUCUAACCACAAUGUCGUCCACGUAAGCAUGGACGUUAGGCCUAUCUGGCUGUGUAAGCAGAUUUGGAUGCAGCGCUAGUAAGUCGCCCCCGUGCUCUUAAGCCCAAAUGGCAUGGACACAUAACAGAAAUACCCGAAAGGAGUUAUGAAGGAUGUCUUUUCCUGAUCCGCCACCGCCAUUUUUAUCUGGUAGUAUCCUGAGUAAGCUUCCAAGAAACAUAGACGUUCGCAACCCGCCGUCGAGUCAAUAAUUUGAUCAAUGCGAGGAAGGGCGAACGGAUCCUUCGGGCAGGCUCUAUUAAGGUCUGUAUAAUCGAUGCACAUGUGGAAAGUGUCGUUCUUCUUGAGUACCAAGACCGGGUUAGCCAGCCAUUCCGGGUGAAAAACCUCGAUGAUGAACCCGGCGGCAAGGAGUCGGGCCACUUCUUCUCCAAUCGCCUUACGGCGCUCUUCGUUAAACCGGCGGAGGUACUGACGUACCGGCUUAACCUUGGGGUUAGUAUUGAGAUGGUGCUCAAUGAAUUCUCUCGGCACACCCAGCAUGUCAGAAGGUUUCCAUGCAAAGAUGUCCCGAUUCUCACGGAUGAAUUCGAUGAGUGUGCUUUCCUAUUUGGGGUCAAGACUCGCCCCAAUAGUGAACUGCUUGGUGGAGUCGCCCGGCGUAAAAUCAAUGACCUUGGUGUCGUCUGCUGGUUUGAACUUGAGGGGCGGCUCAGAAUCAAUAGUCGGGUUUUUGAGCGGCGUCAUGUCUGCCGGGUCGACGCGGGAUUGGUGAAAUUUAAGCGCCUCAGCCGCGCAAGCUGACUCGGCAUAGGCGGCAUCACCUUCCUCGCAUUCUUGGGCUAUUUUCCUGUAGCCAUGGACGGUGAUGGGACCCUUGGGUCCAGGAAUCUUGAGCUUGAGAUAAACAUAGCAUGGGCGGGCCAUGAACUUGGCGUAAGCCGGUCGUCCAAACAACGCAUGGUAGGGGCUCUUGAUCUUGACCACCUCGAACAAGAGAGACUCACUCAUGUAGUUUGAUUCCGUGCCAAAAGCCACAUUAAGUUUGAUCCGCCCAAUGGGGUAUGCCGACUUACCAGGCACAAUACCGUGGAAAAACGUGGAUGAUGGCAUCAGGUCCUUAUCGAGGAGGUUCAUCCGCCGGAAAGUGUCGAAGUAUAAGAUGUUGAUGUUGCUGCCCCCGUCCAUAAGGACUUUGGAAAGGGUGUAUCCUCCGACUUGGGGAGCCACGACCAGGGCUAAGUCGCCAGGGUUGUCGACUCGGGGUGGAUGGUCUUCCCGGCUCCAUGUUAUGGGUUGCUCUGACCAGUGAAGGUAUCGAGGAAGCGCCGGCUCAGCUACGAAAGUUUUGUGCUUUACCUUGUGGUCCCAUUUAUAGGUGUUAGUGGUGAACACGUGGUACUACCCGUUGUUCAACUGCUUGGGGUUGUUUUGGAACCCGCCCCGGUCCUCCUGUCGCUGGGAGUCUCCUUGUGUGGGGGGGGGGAUUGUUGGAAUAUUCCCGGUGGGUGAUAUUGCUGGUUAUGAACUUAGAAUUGACCGGCAUUGUGCUGCGACCCGCCCUGUGGUCCUUGGUUGGGGAAGCCCCCGAAUGUGACGUGUCGCGACCCGGACGGGCCGUGUUGCUCCUGCCGCUGGCCCUGCUCGCCGCCUUGACUCCUUUUGAGUGCCUCGGCCCGGAACUCUUGCAUCACAUAGCAAUCCUCCCAUGAGUGAGUCGCCGAUCCAUCAGCUGUGGCGUGCUGCGGGCACGGGCCCUUAAGCAUUUCAUGGUAGUUACGCGGUUUCUUCCCACUGAAGCCCCGUUUCUUCUGACGCGGGUUUGCGUUACCAGUAUUAGUGUUAGCUACAAAUUCCACAGGACCCUCCUGCUGCCGCUUCUUGCCAUGCCCGCCAUGGUGGUUAUUUCCCCGGUUCUGGAACUGGGAUUGGCCCUUUUGUAACUCGCCCUUGCGGGUAGCUCCAGUUUUAUCGUCGCCCUCCCCGGGAUCCUUAGUGCCAUUCGACUUAGCAUAUCUGGUAAGGGCGUCCAUCAGCUCGCCCAUGUUGUGUACAUUUCGCUUAAGUCUCCCUAGUUUCAGCACCACAGGCUCGUAGUGGCAAUUUUUUCUCCAGGAUCAACACCGCCUGAGCCGCCGAAAUACCUUCUGACAAAUGAAUGACUUCCGCAACUCGCCGGUUCCAGUGAUGGGCAGACUCAUCCGGCCGCUGAACGCAGUGUUGUAAGUCGACGAUGGUCAUCGGGCACUUGCAGGUCCCUCUGAAGUUCUUGAUGAAGCGCUCCUUCAGUUCUACCCAAGUGUUGAUAGAGUUGGGCGGCAGGUUUUUCAACCAAGUGCGUGUCAUCCCUUCGAGCAUCAUGGUCAAGUAUUUCACGCAAACCGCCUCGCUAAUGUCCAACAUAUCCAUCGCGAGUUCAUAGCUCUCGAUCCAUGACAUGGGCUCGAGAUCUGGUGAGUAGUUGGGAACCUUCCUGGGUCCUUUGAAGUCCUUCGGCAUGCGCUCGUUGUGCAAAGCCGGCGCGAGACAUGAUACUCCAAUGUGUUUGCCUCCACCAUCCAGGGGCGCGAGCGACGGUGGUACGUAGGCCGGAUAGACCUGACCCGCCAUGGCCGUUGGCUCCAUGUGUCGCGCGGCUCGUGCUGCGUCCACAAUAUCCUGAGCUCGUGUGUCCGGCAUCCCUAGCAGAUCAUGUUGGGGGAGCUGCCGCGGCCAGCUGGUCACUGCGGGGAAAUCCUCAUGGCGACUUCUAGUGUGACUCGCCCGAGGCAUAGAGUGGAGGCGAUCAAGGCUAUGGGAAUACAGCGUGUGCUUAACCACGGCCGUUUUCAGCAUCUCAAUGGCGUUUCUGGCUUCUAUCUCGGCCGGGGUGUUUCCGUAAAUCGGAAGAGACUCCAGGUGGCGGGUUGCAGCCAGCACGUUGUCGACGGGGUUUGAGAAGUGACCUCUCGGUGUCUGGAAUCGAGUCGCAUGAGCAUCCAUGCGCUGAUCCGGCGGUGGAUUGGCUGGUGGAAUUGUUCCUCCCCUCGGGGCGGCUUGCAGAGGCCGAUCAGGACCCGCCCCAGGGGUGCGUGGAGUGUCAAAGAGGCGAGUUGGGUGUAAGUCGGCCGGGACGCGCCCGCCGUGUCUUCUUUGGUGUACAGCGUCGGACGCGCGUUGCUGUAUCCCGAGCUGCCAGCCUUCGGUGUUUAGCUGAUCAGUCUCUGCGGCGACCGCAGCCCGUUGUGUCUCGAUCCUGGCGGCUUCCGCUUCCAUGUCGCGUUGUGCUUUGGCCAUUGCCUCCCGUAGUUUGGUUAGCUCGGCAUUGACCGACUCUUGAUUUUCAGAUGUAACCAGGGUUGCCAUAAGGCUGGCUAUCUCCGCUGCUAGUUCCGUCAUGGUUUGCGCUGGAGGCUUGGACGUUCCUCCGGUCUCGUUGUUGCUAGUCGGGUUCUGAGGAGGCUGCGCUGACCCCGCCAUGUAGAUGGAGAUUUGCCGGGGAGAUCUCUCGAGGACUUCAGGAUCCAUCGCCAGCGAUAGCCCCCCGAGCUGCCCUACCUCAAGGGGGUGGAUCGACGCCGUCUCGCCCAUGGAUGACUCGCCAUCGGAAUUGACGGGGGUGGCGUCCUGGCCUGCCUCUUCGUCUUGCGAGUCGCCCCCCUGCGUAAAGCUGACAAAAACCUGGCGGCUCUUGUUCCGCCGUGUGACGGGGAGGACGUACCUGCCCGGCUCGACGAUGUCGGUGGAGGUGUCCGGCUCAGGAACAGGCGUCCCGAUCAUGCCGAUGAAUAUGUUGAUCUUGCCGAAGGGGACUCGGUAGCCAGAUUCGACGGAAUCGGCCUCCGAUUCCCAUAGUGAGUUGUCGAUGUAGUACCUCCCACGGCGACUCUUAGUCAUGAUGCCGACCGCAUAGCUUUCUAACCCUGAUAGGGCACCCUUCGAGAACUCAACUCCACCGUGCGCUAGACCCACGGUGGGCGCCAACUGUCGUGGUUUUGUCACGGUAGAUGUCCUUGUGAAAGGAUUUGAUGAUGGAGCCAUCACACCUUGGUGGCGACUCAAAGGGGGUGAGCGAAAGCGAGACUCAGAUUUACCCAGGUUCGGCCCCUCGUGAGGAGGUAAAAGCCUACGUCCUGCUUUGUGUAGAUUAAUGGUGGUUUCGAUUACAAGGAGUGCGUAACUCGCCUAACCUAGCUCUCGAUUCUCUCUAACUCGCCGUGCUCCCCACGACCAGGAGCUUCCUUUGCGUUCCAUCAUCCACAUGGUCUUCUUGAACCGCCCUACCACUCCUAGGACACUGGACGCAUGAUCAAAGGUGAGUCGCACCUUUGGUGACCCGGCCAUUAAGGGCGGGUUACCCAUAGGUAACAUCCCCAACAAGUACCGACCUAGGAGCCCCCUUGAUUGAUCGAACUUGGCCGAGUCGAGUCUAGUGAAAACUAUUUGAGUCUUAGUUAUAUAUCGGAGAGUAGGAUUCUUUUUUCUCCUCUUCUAUGCUCUGGUGAGGAAUCUUGACGUAAUAACUUAUUCUACUCCUCUUCUCACUCCAAAAAAAAUUAGGAUCACGCUGAUAUUUUGGAAUCUAUAUGAUGCCGAUGUGACGGAGUUAUGUCUUGGUGCCUCCUGUCUGACUUGAUUUCUUCCGGGGAUUUGAGCUCGAGGGAAUUCUCGAGCACAUCGUUAUCAUUCAGAUUUCUGAGUAUCUCACAACGAAUGAUGUUCGUAAUUGCUUCAAUACUAGUAGUGACGAGAUAACCCCGAUGUCCCUAGUACUGGUGCAUAUUGUUCGGGGGUACUGCCAUACUUUGUAUCGUUGUGAUCACGAGGGUCUGUAGUAGAUGAAGGUCCGAGACUCUGGUUAUGUGUUGACGGAUGUGAUACAGGUGACGGGUUAGUAUAGGAGUUGUGUGAUAUUACUCCUUGUAUCCGUGUACCAGAUUGCAUGACCAGAUAUUUCGGGAAUUCUUAGGUGGGAAUUCAAGUAGUUACUUAUAGGACAAUCUUCCAACAAAUGCAUGAUGUUAGGUUGGGGUUCGACAUCUAGUGGAUUCGUUUGUUGACGGUCGACUUAUAGCGGUUCUCGUUGUGUCUUAAAGAGUCCUUGUAGCUUGCUACGACUCGGGGAUGCUUCGUAUGUCAUGUGCACUGCCUUGCACAUGAUGGCUACUGUAAGGAUCGAGCCCGUGGGAUCCUGUCCACGAAAAUAUCGGACGAAAUCUUUCUCAUGAGUUUGUUCUGGCUGAUUGUAAGCCUCAUCCCUUUGUUUUGUUGGAGUUUGGUAAUUCAAGUUGCUUCGAUGUCAAGUGGUGAUUUUAGAUCUUUCCUAAGAGGUGUUCUCAUAUUUUUAUGUGAGAAUGCAAAUUCUUUUGUUCAUUCAAAUUGUCAUAUCAAUUCUUGUCAACCGGAGUUGUGGUGUCAAUUCUUUUCAACCAGUGUGUUUCUCUCCAAGUGAAUUCAAUCCUCUCCAAUAUUUGCAGAUCAUUCUCUCAAUUCUUACCGGAAUUGUCUCAUCUGUCUCAAGUUGUCUUUGUUUUCCCCGCCCACCCNCCACCCACCCUUUUCUUCAGUGUUCAGUAUUCAUCCAAGUGCCUUUAUAUUCAAUGAUGCUUCUGCUAUCUUUUCUUCCGUGUCCUAUCCGGUGAUUCAUUGUGAAGAUUCUCAGGAGCUUUGUGCUCAUCUGUUUCAAUCUUGUUAUCCUUUCCGGUGAAUUUAGUUCAAGCUAUCCGUGUUUCUCUUAUCCUUCUUCCUUGUAAUUCUUUCCCAUGUUGGAAAUUUGUAUGAGCCUAUCUUGUUAUUCAUUCCUCUCUUUUCUUUCUGGAGUGUUGGAGUUAUCCCAGAAGUUUCUUGUUGUCAAUUCUUUCAAUUAUUUUGAGGUGCUAACCUCAUCUAGUUUUCUUUAUACUGGUGCAAUAUCUCUCUUCUAGCAAUCUUUUCAACGGUGGUUUCUUCGACUGGGCCCAUAACCCACAGGUUUUUCCCAGGAUCUUAUAUAGCUCUUGUAAUCUUUUCCGGAGAUCUCUGAUUCUUUUUAACUGUGACAUAAGUAUGAAUCUCAUCAAUCAUAUCCCUUCUCCAAGUUCUAUUCGAAUUAAUUCAUUCUUUGGAUCAACCUUUCAUUCUUCUUUAUUCCGGAGUGUCUCACUAAUUCUUGGUGGUGUUCUCCUCAUCAUUCUCAGCUUGGAAAUCUGAAGGAGUGUUUCCCUCAAAUCUUGCUCCAUUCUCUAGGAGAUUCGUCAUUCAGCUUUGUGCCAUCAUCUUAGUUGUUGUCAAUCAUGAGUAUCCCUUUCUUUCUAUCUGGUGCAUUUCUGAGCUGUUUUCAUUCUCGAUCCUCCGAAGGCCAUCAUUUCAGAAGACCUGUUCGUUCUCAGCUUUCAGCUUUCAUCCUCAAUUCUUCUCAAUUGUUGUCUCUUCAUUCGUCUCUCGGUUAUUCUGGCGCCUUGUUCAAGUUUUCUCUCAGGUGGCUCAUGAUCUCUUCAUUCUCAUGUAUCUCCAUUAAUUCCUGGUUUUCCCAUUCAAUUGUGAAUUCUUACCGGUGUUUCAUUCAAUUAUGCUUCAAGUGGUGCUUAUCUCUCUAUCUCUUCAAGAUUCUUUCAAGAAGAAUAAGUGGUAUGCUAAAUCUGUUGCUUGUCAUCAAUUAAACUUGAUGAAGGACAAGCAUAACAUAAUUCUUAUUCUUGUUCAUAGUGAUCUGAAUUCUUCUUCCGGAGUGGCUCGUCAUAUCAAUUCUUAUCCCAUGUGCUUAUCUUUCUUUUCCGGAGUUCCAAGUUCUUUUAAGUAUCUCUUUGUAAAGCUUCAUCGAGGUCUUUGCCAGGCUUCAAUCUUAUUCUUUCAUCCUUCAUAUCUUGUGUCAUACUUUUGAUACAGAGGUCCUUCAUGGUGGUUCUUCAAGAUUUAAAUCCAUUCUCAAGUGUUCUUCAAGAUUCUUGUGAUAGUAGUUGUCAUGCUCUUAUUCUUUCCUUGUUCCCAAUGAGCUAGUUUUAUUCUCUUGUUCCGGAGGCAUUGUGAUGUUACCUUUUUGGGUCAAUCUUGUUGUUCUAUCAAGAUCAUGGCGUUCCCUUGUUCUAUUUAGUUGUUGUUAUGAAUAUUGUCUAUUUGUCCCAUCUUAUCGAAUUUUUUGUCCCCUUUUCCUACCGAAGUGCUGCCGAAAUUUUCCGUGAAUUCUUGCUUGUUUCUCAUAUUAUUCCUCAUCACUUUGCAACCUUCAAGGAUCGUUGGUUUCACUCGUUUGUCAAAGAAGCGAUUAAGUUUUACCUUUUGCUUUUCUCAUCCUCUUCCCCUUUCAUCCUUGGAUCUCGGGGCGAGAUCCUCUUCUAGUGUAGGAGAGUUGUGCCAGCCCGAUGCCGACGUUCCAGAAGAUUCCCCUUCAUUUCAGUUUUCAUUGUGUGGUUAUUUUUAUUUGUCGCAUCAUCAUCGCAUCAUGCGCAUCAUCAGCAUUGCAUCGGCACCCCAUUGCCGCCAGUUUUCAAACUUUCAUCCGUUGUUAGUUGUCGGUUCUCGUCAUUGUCCGUUCUGAGCCCGACCACACACGCAUGCGCCCGCGGCUUCGUUCAAAUCUUGUUUUCAAAAGUGUGUUGAAAACUUUCUCUGAUUGGGUUGAGAUUUGAUGUGCGGUCUUAUUUUAAUAUAGGUAGGCCGCGUGUCAAAUUUCGUCGCGAUCGGAGUCCAUCUGGUACCCGAACGGUCGACCGUAGCGGCACCGUAUUCGGUCUAUCGUCGGACGUCUUCCGGUGUUUUAAAAAUCGUUGCCGCGCCGCCCGUGUUCCCUCUCGUCUUCGGAUAACUACUCUACACGGUCAUUUAGUCCGUCCCGCGUUCGGAAUUAGUCGAAUCCGACCGCGCGGUUGAAACCGAGGCGAAAUUUCGCUAAACCUAGCCCCCUGCAUAUAAAUAGGACCUCCCAUGCCAUUUUUAGACAACCCUCACUCUCUCCUCGAAAUCCGUGCCUAACCCUAACCCUAACCCACUCUCUCUCUCUCCUCCCUCCCUCCUCUGCGCAGCCUCCGGGCCCGCCAGGCCCAGAUCGGGCUCGAGCAGGCCCAUCCGGCCGCCGCCGCCCGCAGCGCUCCGCCGCGCCCAUGCCCGAGGGCAGCAGCUCGAGUCGCCAGAGCCUCCCCUCGCCUCUCCCUCGACGGACACCCCGCCAGCAGCCCUCGUCACCGGUAGGCAGCCGCCCCCUCGGGUCCUGCUACUCCGCCUACCUCGUCACGCCGCCCUGCUACUGCCGGCCCGAGUGCCACCUCUGGGCGGAGCCCGAGCCGGCAGCCGCCAACCCUCGUGCCGAGGUCCUCGUCGCUGGCCGCCCGGAGGCUCCCGCGCCUGGAUCCGCCUCGUUCCGGCCGGAUCCCGCCGCCCCCGCGCCGGUGCUUUGCCCCUUCGCCUCGCCUUCCGCCGCCAUCACCGUCAGCUCCCUCCGCCGCCGCCUCUGUCAUGCUCGGGAACGAGCAGAGCGACGGGAGCUGCCUGUCCCCUCGCCCCGUGGGCCGGCCUGGCUAGACGAGGCCCAGCGCCUCCCUCGGCCGCAGCCCAGCGCCUCAACCGCCGGCCCACUCCACUAUUCCCACCCCUCCAACCGGCCCGAGUGGCUUCACCUGAGGUGAGCUAAUCCUCGCCCCCAGUGCGCCUUAGGUUUUUUGCGUCCCCUAUUGGCCUUAGGGUUUUUUUUUCGAAAUUAUUUAAAUUCCAGGAUUAGACGAUAUUAAAUCACCCAUAGUUUAUUAUCCGCAGGUCGGAUCGCGACGUGUAGCAUACGGAUUUUGUGUAGUUUUGCGCAUAGAUUACGUUUGUGCAACUUGCAUAAUUGUUUAAAGUGAUUUGACGUGCCGAACGCCUAGUUUUACGUGCUGUCCCAAUAGGAUUCGUCCCGUAUUUAUUUCUCGUGCGUGUCUGGAUUGCUCGUAUGUCGUAGAUAAAAUGUUCAUGUUAUAGGAACCACUUUUACAUGUAUUUUAGAGAAGUCGUUGGUAUUUUUACGUGUAGGGAUUUGCCGCUAGUUUCUUUUCCGUGUUUAGGAUAAUAUCUCGCAUUUACGUGUGAUAAUAUUUUUGUGUUGCAACCCCACAUGUUUUAUAUGUUUUCAGGGUAGAAAAGUCCAUAGGAUUUUUCUGUGUAUUUAGUUUUAGCUUUUGAGCAAGUUAGUUCGUGCGAUAUUUUGCCAUGUUGCCCUCUUGUCUAUCUCGUAGGAUUUAUUCCGUGCUUCCUUUGAAGGAGUUGUCAAUUAGAGUUUUGCCCUUGGAUGUUUAGUCUGGCCCCUCGUAUUUUUGGUUGCAUUAGAAAUCAAUGUUUAGGUGUGGGUUGCUUGCUCUCAAGUUGCUAGAAAACAGUGCUGAUUUGGAGAUGCUGAAAUAUUUCUAAGUCUGAAUCUAUUAUAUUUUGUUGCUGUCUUGUCUUGCUUCUAUCUUGUGAUUUGUAGCUCUUUUGAGGUUGGUCCAAUGGAGUUAGUUGUAGACUUUGGGAUUCUCUAGCAUGCCAUGAAUUUUCAUGCAAUUUGGAGUCCUGUAGCUUAUGGUUUCUCUGCUGUCAAUAUGCCAUCGGAUUGAAAACUGCAGCUUCAUAAACUGCUAUUUUCACUAAGUCUGAAAUAGUGUGUGAGAAGCCAUUUUGUGACUUCUUUUCCUAGUGAUCCAUGCUGCCAUGCUAGUUGUUGUUAGUUGUAUGUUGUAGUGCUUCUUGCCCUCUAUCGACUCAUGCCUUGCUUGAGCAUAUUGGGUUUGUGUAGCUCGUAGUUGCGGGGUGUUGAAAAUGCUAUGUGGCUGUUUUUGGCAGAUUGUAGUGAUAUCUUGUUUUGCUCGUAGUUGUUGAACCGUAGCUCCGAUUUGGUCGUGUCCUAUAUGGAACUUGCUUAGAAUCUCAUGUAGUUUCAUAUUAUCUUGCUGGUUGUGUGUUUUGAAGUGCUCGUGACCGUCGUUGCACACAUAUUGCAUUCAUGCCAUCACAUCUUGCGGUGUCCGUAUCUUUUGAUCCGUAGCUCCGUUGGAGAUGUUCUCUAUGUGUAAAUUGAUUGUAACGACGCGUAGAAUCACGUGAACCCAUUUGUUUUGCUGUUUAACAACUAAUUAAACGUGUUAGUUCAGAUCUGGACAGAAUUGUAAAUUAACAUGUGAGGUCGUCUCGGAGAUGCUAUAUGUCAUUUCCGACCUCAUUUAAAAUGCCUAGAUAGGUAGUUUAAUUGCGCUUCACCUCUUUCCAUGUUUAACAACAUUUAAUAUUGCCGUGUACCUAAUCGAGAUAGAACUACAUAAUCCGUGUGUGGAGUUUCGUCAAUAUGCAAUGCGUUGCAUAUUGAACUUCACUUAAUGUGUAGUGUUUGGUUGUUGUGAAUUGUCAUGUCGUGACUUGCAUGUAUUAUUUUGUUCAUGCAUCAUAUGUGAUGUGCACCGUGUGGUGAAUAUCGUGUGUUGAUGCUUGUUUCUGUUUUCCUCCGUCUCGUUAGAGUUCCGCAAGCAUGUCGGAUGUGAGGACCGUUCGACUACAUCGGUUCGUCUGCUUCACGGAGUCGUUCUUCUUCCAAGCGGGAUCUCAGGCAAGAUGACCAUUUCCCUAGAUACCAUUACUAUCAUUGCCAUGCUAGUUUUACCGUUUCUAUCGUUUAUGUCUCAUUGCCUACCAGAUGUUAAAUAUCAGCCUCCCAACAUUGCCAUGUAAACCUUCAACCUGUUCACAACCUAGCAAACCACUGAUUGGCUAUGCUACCGCUUGCUUAACCCUGUGUUAGCGUUGCUAGUUGCAAAUGCAGUUGCUUCCAUAUGAUAACAUGGGUUCCUUGUUAUAUCACCAUAUUAAUGAUAUUUAAUUUAAUGCACCUAUAUACUUGGUAAAAGGUGGAAGGCUUGGCCUUUCUAGCCUGGUGUUUUGUUCCACCAUUGCCCCCUUAGUUUCAGCUACCGGUGUUAUGUUCCAUCAUUGAGCGCUCCUAACACGGUCGGGGUUGUUAUGGGGACCCCCUUAAUAAUUUGUUUUAGAUUAAAGCUGGUUUGGCAAGGCCCAACAUUGGUACUAUUUGCCAAACAUAAUAAUUUUGUUAACACUGAAAUGCAUAGGGAGUUAGCGCUACCCGACGAGUAAUUCUACAUAAUACAGGGAGGACCGGUGCUGAUGGUGAUGGUCCAAAACAGAGCACUGUGCGUGCCCAACCCAGGGCAACUUGGGUGAUUUCUAUCAGGUCACUGUACGCGUCGCUCAUCCGUCGUGUCGUGAGAAUGACAACACGGCUCCUAUCGGGGUCGUCGACACGCCGAGCGGCCUUGCUAGAUUAGUUUUACCUUUGACGAGAUAUCUUGUGCAUCGGGAUUCCGGUGAUGCUUUGGGUAAUCUCAGAGUUGAGGUUUUCCACUAAGGAGUCCUACGAGAUCGNNNNNNNNNNNNNNNNNNNNNNNNNNNNNNNNNNNNNNNNNNNNNNNNNNNNNNNNNNNNNNNNNNNNNNNNNNNNNNNNNNNNNNNNNNNNNNNNNNNNGUGGCGCCGGUGACAAGAAGAUCGUGCCGGUGCUUUGGUGAUGGAGAUCAAGAAGCACGUGAUGAUGGCCAUAUCAUGUCACUUAUGAAUUGCAUGUGAUGUUAAUCCUUUUAUACACCUUAUUUUGCUUAGAACGACGGUAGCAUUAUGAGGUGAUCUCUCACUAAAAUUUCAAGACGAAAUUGUGUUCUCCCCGACUGUGCACCGUUGCUACAGUUCGUCGUUUCGAGACACCACGUGAUGAUNNNNNNNNNNNNNNNNNNNNNNNNNNNNNNNNNNNNNNNNNNNNNNNNNNNNNNNNNNNNNNNNNNNNNNNNNNNNNNNNNNNNNNNNNNNNNNNNNNNNNNNNNNNNNNNNNNNNNNNNNNNNNNNNNNNNNNNNNNNNNNNNNNNNNNNNNNNNNNNNNNNNNNNNNNNNNNNNNNNNNNNNNNNNNNNNNNNNNNNNNNNNNNNNNNNNNNNNNNNNNNNNNNNNNNNNNNNNNNNNNNNNNNNNNNNNNNNNNNNNNNNNNNNNNNNNNNNNNNNNNNNNNNNNNNNNNNNNNNNNNNNNNNNNNNNNNNNNNNNNNNNNNNNNNNNNNNNNNNNNNNNNNNNNNNNNNNNNNNNNNNNNNNNNNNNNNNNNNNNNNNNNNNNNNNNNNNNNNNNNNNNNNNUGAUAUGAUUAGCAUAGGGAUGCUUACCACUGAAACUAUACUCAACUCACGUGAUGAUCGGACUUGAGCUAGUGCAAGUGGAUCAUGAACCACUCAAAUGACUAGAGAGAUGUACUUUUUGAGUGGGAGUUUAGCGAAUAAUUUGAUUAAGUUAAACUCUAAUUAUCUUGAACAUAGUCUAAGUCCACUUUGAAUAUAUUUGUGUUGUAGAUCAUGGCUAACGCGACAGUCAUCCUGAAUUUUAAUACGUUCCUAGAGAAAGCUAAGUUGAAAGAUGAUGGAAGCAACUUUGUAGACUGGGCUCGUAAUCUUAAGCUAAUCUUACAAGCUGGGAAGAAGGAUUAUGUCCUUAAUGCUGCGCUAGGAGAUGAACCACCCGCUACGGCUGAUCAGGAUGUUAAGAACGCUUGGUUAGCACGUAAGGAGGACUACUCAAUAGUUCAAUGUGCAGUCUUGUAUGGCUUAGAACCGGGACUUCAACGUNNNNNNNNNNNNNNNNNNNNNNNNNNNNNNNNNNNNNNNNNNNNNNNNNNNNNNNNNNNNNNNNNNNNNNNNNNNNNNNNNNNNNNNNNNNNNNNNNNNNGCAUCUUGGGCGUGACAGGAUCAUAAUCAAAUUCAACAACAUAUCCAUCAAAAAGGAUAUUCUUUUCAUGAUCCACAUGCAUGCAAAGUUGACGCUCUUCAAAAAUAGUGGGAUUAUCAUCAACCAAAGUCAUGACUUCUCCAAUCCCACUUUCAAAAUUAUUGCAAAUAUCAUAUUCAUCAUGAGGUUUAAACAAAUUUUCAAGAUCAUACAAAAAAUCAUCACCCCAUUCAUGAUCAUUGCAACAAGUAGUGGACAUAGCAAAACUAGCAUCCCCAAGCUUAGGNNNNNNNNNNNNNNNNNNNNNNNNNNNNNNNNNNNNNNNNNNNNNNNNNNNNNNNNNNNNNNNNNNNNNNNNNNNNNNNNNNNNNNNNNNNNNNNNNNNNNNNNNNNNNNNNNNNNNNNNNNNNNNNNNNNNNNNNNNNNNNNNNNNNNNNNNNNNNNNNNNNNNNNNNNNNNNNNNNNNNNNNNNNNNNNNNNNNNNNNNNNNNNNNNNNNNNNNNNNNNNNNNNNNNNNNNNNNNNNNNNNNNNNNNNNNNNNNNNNNNNNNNNNNNNNNNNNNNNNNNNNNNNNNNNGCAUCCCCAAGCUUAGGGUUUUGCAUAUUUUUAGCAUGAUUGUCAUUAAUAGAAUUUAUAAUGAAAUCAUUGCAAUCAUGCUUUUCAUUCAAGGAGCCCUAGUGAAUCACUUCAUAAAUUUCUUCAUCACGAUUUUUAGAUUCACGCAUCUCAAGCAAAACUCCAUAGAGAUAGUCAAGUGCACUCAACUCACUAGCAAUUGGUUCCACAUAAGUGUUGGGUAACGUAGCANNNNNNNNNNNNNNNNNNNNNNNNNNNNNNNNNNNNNNNNNNNNNNNNNNNNNNNNNNNNNNNNNNNNNNNNNNNNNNNNNNNNNNNNNNNNNNNNNNNNGGACGUCCGAGGCCCGGAUAUCCGACCAGCUUCGGAAUUCCGGAACUAUGCACCAGAGAAACUUGAGCCAUAUAACUCGGACUUCCGGCUCACUCCGGACGUCCGAGGGCCGGUCAAGGGUCGGACGACCGACAUGCUUCGGAAAUCCGGAGCCCUGCACCAGAAGAACGUGAGCUCUAUAACUCGGAUUUCCGGCUCCCUCCGGACGUCCGAGGGCCGGACGUCCGACCCCCUUCGGAAAUCCGGAACCUACCACCAGAAGAAGUUGAGUUGUAUAACUCGGAUUUCCGGUCCUCUCCGGACGUCUGGUCGCUGUUUAAUUCAAAAUAGUUUCAGCCGUAUCUACAGGCCUCGGACGACCGACCCCUGUCGGACGUCCAACCCCUCACGGACGCCCAGACUUCCGGCAACUGUCGGACGUCCGGACCCUGUGUGACUUAAAGUGUCCCCAACGGCUGUUUUUCUCUCCCCACUAUAAAUACCCCCCUCGCACUUCGUGAGAGGGCAGCCCAACACAGCCUUAUCCUCAUAAGAACAUACUUCUACCUCACACACANUNNNNNNNNNNNNNNNNNNNNNNNNNNNNNNNNNNNNNNNNNNNNNNNNNNNNNNNNNNNNNNNNNNNNNNNNNNNNNNNNNNNNNNNNNNNNNNNNNNNNAGAGGCAGCCUCAAACCCUCAAGGGUUGGCCGAAAUUGGAGGUGGAGGAGUCCUACUCCAAUCCUACUUGGAGUAGGAUUCCACCUUCCCACUUGGAAACUCUUUCCACCUUGUGUUUUUUCCUUCUCAAACCUUAUGGGCCUUAGUGGGAACUUAUUCCAGCCCACUAGGGGCUGGUUUAUAUCUUCCCAUAGCCCAUGAGACCCCUUGGGGCGUGACACCCCUCCCGAUGGUCCCCGGCACCCCUCCCGGCACUCCCGGUACACUACCGAUGAGCCCGAAACUUUUCCGGUAAUGCACGAAAACCUUCCGGUAACCAAAUGAGGUCAUCCUAUAUAUCAAUCUUCGUUUCCGGACCAUUCCGGAAACCCUCGUGACGUCCGUGAUCUCAUCCGGGACUCCGAACAACAUUCGGUAACCAACCAUAUAACUCAAAUACGCAUAAAACAACGUCGAACCUUAAGUGUGCAGACCCUGCAGGUUCGAGAACUAUGUAGACAUGACCCGAGAGACUCCUCGGUCAAUAUCCAAUAGCGGGACCUGGAUGCCCAUAUUGGAUCCUACAUAUUCUACGAAGAUCUUAUCAUUUGAACCUCAGUGCCAAGGAUUCAUAUAAUCCCGUAUGUCAUUCCCUUUGUCCUUCGGUAUGUUACUUGCCCGAGAUUCGAUCGUCAGUAUCCGCAUACCUAUUUCAAUCUCGUUUACCGGCAAGUCUCUUUACUCCUUCCGUAAUACAAGAUCCCGCAACUUACACUAAGUUACAUUGCUUGCAAGGCUUGUGUGUGAUGUUGUAUUACCGAGUGGGCCCCGAGAUACCUCUCCGUCACACGGAGUGACAAAUCCUAGUUUUGAUCCAUACUAACUCAACUAACACCUUCGGAGAUACCUGUAGAGCAUCUUUAUAGUCACCCAGUUACGUUGCGACGUUUGAUACACACAAAGCAUUCCUCCAGUGUCAGUGAGUUAUAUGAUCUCAUGGUCAUAGGAAUAAAUACUUGACACGCAGAAAACAGUAGCAAUAAAAUGACACGAUCAACAUGCUACGUCUAUUAGUUUGGGUCUAGUCCAUCACGUGAUUCUCCCAAUGAAGUGAUCCAGUUAUCAAGCAACAACACCUUGUUCAUAAUCAGAAGACACUGACUAUCAUCGAUCAACUGGCUAGCCAACUAGAGGCAUGCUAGGGACGGUGUUUUGUCUAUGUAUCCACACAUGUAAAUGAGUCUUCAUUCAAUACAAUUAUAGCAUGGAUAAUAAACUAUUAUCUUGAUACAGGAAUUAUAAUAAUAACUAUAUUUAUUAUUGCCUCUAGGCAUAAUUCCAACAGUCUCCCACUUGCACUAGAGUCAAUAAUCUAGCCCUCACAUCACCAUGUGAAUUGCAUUGUAAUAAAUCUAACACCCAUACAGUUCUGGUGUCGAUCAUUGUUUUGGUCGUGGAAGAGGUUUAGUCAGCGGGUCUGCUACAUUCAGAUCCGUGUGCACUUUGCAUAUAUUUACGUCCUCUUCCUCGACGUAGUCGCGGAUGAGGUUGAACCGUCGUUUGAUGUGUCUGGUCUUCUUGUGAAACCGUGGUUCCUUUGCUAAGGCAAUGGCACCAGUGUUGUCACAGAACAAGGUUAUUGGAUUCAGUGCGCUUGGCACCACUCCAAGAUCCGUCAUGAACUGCUUCAUCCAGACACCCUCCUUAGCCGCCUCCGAGGCAGCCAUGUACUCCGCUUGACAUGUAGAAUCUGCUACGACGCUUUGCUUGGAACUGCACCAGCUUACUGCACCCCCAUUAAGAAUAAAUACGUAUCCGGUUUGCGACUUAGAGUCGUCCGGAUCUGUGUCAAAGCUUGCAUCGACGUAACCUUUUACGACGAGCUCUUCGUCACCUCCAUACACGAGAAACAUCUCCUUAGUCCUUUUCAGGUACUUCAGGAUAUUCUUGACCGCUAUCCAGUGAUCCACUCCUGGAUUACUCUGGAACCUACCUGCCAUACUUAUGGCCAGGCUAACAUCCGGUCUAGUGCACAGCAUCGCAUACAUGAUAGAACCUAUGGCUGAAGCAUAGGGGACGGAGCGCAUAUGCUCUCUAUCUUCAUCAGUUGCUGGGCACUGAGUCUUACUCAAUCUUGUACCUUGUAAAACUGGCAAGAACCCUUUCUUGGACUGUUCCAUUUUGAACCUCUUCAAAACUUUAUCAAGGUAUGUGCUUUGUUGAAAGUCCUAUCAGGCGUUUUGAUCUAUCCCUAUAGAUCUUAAUGCCUAGAAUGUAAGCAGCUUCUCCUAGGUCCUUCAUAGAGAAACUUUUAUUCAAGUAACCUUUUAUGCUCUCCAAAAACUCUACGUUGUUUCCAAUCAGUAAUAUGUCAUCCACAUAUAAUAUUGGAAACGCCACAAAGCUCCCACUCACUUUCUUGUAAAUACAAGAUUCUCCAACCACUUGUAUAAACCCAAAUGCUUUGAUUACCUCAUCAAAGCGUUUGUUCCAACUCCGAGAUGCUUGCACCAGUCCAUAAAUGGAUCGCUGGAGCUUGCACACCUUGUUAGCAUUCUUAGGAUCGACAAAACCUUCGGGUUGCAUCAUAUACAACUCUUCCUUAAGGAAACCGUUAAGGAACGCCGUUUUGACAUCCAUCUGCCAGAUUUCAUAAUCGAAAAAUGCAGCUAUUGCUAACAUGAUUCUGACGGACUUAAGCAUCGCUACGGGUGAGAAAGUCUCAUCGUAGUCAACUCCUGGAACUUGUGAAAAACCCUUUGCCACAAGUCGAGCUUUAUAAACGGUCACAUUACCGUCAGCGUCCGUCUUCUUCUUAAAGAUCCAUUUGUUCUGAAUAGCCUUGCGGCCCUCAGGUAGUAUCUCCAAAGUCCACACUUUGUUCUCAUACAUGGAUCCUAUCUCCGACUUCAUGGCUUCUAGCCAUUUGUUGGAAUCUGGGCCCACCAUUGCUUCUUCGUAAUUUGCAGGUUCAUUGUUGUCUAACAACAUGAUUGAUAAGACGGGAUUACCGUACCACUCUGGAGCAGCGCGUGAUCUCGUCAACCUGCGUGGUUCAACAGAAACUUGAACUGGAGUUUCAUGAGCAUCAUCAUUAACUUUCUCCUCAACCGGCGUCGCAACGACAGAGGUUUCCCCUUGCCCUGCGCCACCAUCCAGAGGGAUGAGAGGUUCGACAACCUCGUCAAGUUCUAUCUUCCUCCCACUCAAUUCUCUCGAGAGAAACUCCUUCUCGAGAAAAGCUCCGUUCUUAGCAACAAACACUUUGCCCUCGGAUUUGAGAUAGAAGGUGUACCCAACUGUCUCUUUUGGGUAACCUAUGAAGACGCACUUUUCCGCUUUGGGUUCCAGCUUUUCAGGCUGAAGCUUUUUGACAUAAGCAUCACAUCCCCAAACUUUAAGAAACGACAACUUUGGUCUUUUGCCAUACCACAGUUCGUAUGGUGUCGUCUCAACGGAUUUUGAUGGUGCCCUAUUUAAAGUGAAUGCAGCUGUUUCUAAUGCAUAACCCCAAAACGAUAACGGCAAAUCAGUAAGAGACAUCAUAGAUCGCACCAUCUCUAAGAAAGUACGAUUACGACGUUCGGACACACCAUUACGCUGUGGUGUUUGAGGCGGUGUUAACUGUGAAACAAUUCCACAUUGUCUUAAGUGAUAACCAAACUCGAAACUCAGAUAUUCACCCCCACGAUCAGACCGUAGGAACUUGAUCUUCUUGUUACGAUGAUUUUCCACUUCACUCUGAAAUUGCUUGAACUUUUCAAAUGUUUCAGACUUGUGCUUCAUCAAGUAGACAUAACCAUACCUACUCAAAUCGUCAGUGAAGGUGAGAAAAUAACGAUAUCCGCCGCGUGCCUCCACGCUCAUUGGACCACACACAUCGGUAUGUAUGAUUUCCAAUAAGUCACUUGCACGCUCCAUUGUUCCGGAGAACGGAGUCUUAGUCAUCUUGCCCAUCAGGCAUGGUUCGCACGUGUCAAGUGAAUCAAAGUCAAGUGACUCCAAAAGUCCAUCAGCAUGGAGUUUCUUCAUGCGCUUUACACCAAUAUGACCCAAGCGGCAGUGCCACAAAAAUAUGGCGCUAUCAUUGUUUACUCUAACUCUUUUGGUCUCAAUGUUAUGUAUAUGCGUAUCGCUAUCAAGAUUCAAUAUGAACAAUCCUCUCACAUUCGGUGCAUGACCAUAAAAGAUGUUACUCAUAGAAAUAGAACAACCAUUAUUCUCUGACUUAAAAGAGUAACCGUCUCGCAAUAAACAAGAUCCAGACAUAAUGUCCAUGCUCAACCCAGGCACUAAAUAACAAUGAUUUAAGUUCAUCACUAAUCCCGACGGUAGCUGAAGUGACACUGUGCCGACGGCGAUUGAAUCAACCUUGGAACCAUUUCCUACGCGCAUCGUCACUUCAUCUUUCGCCAGCCUUCGUCUAUUCCGCAGUUCCUGCUUCGAGUUGCAAAUAUGAGCAACAGAACCGGUAUCGAAUACCCAGGCACUACUACGAGAACCGGUUAAGUACACAUCAAUAACAUGUAUAUCAAAUAUACCUGAUUUUUCUUUGCCCGCCUUCUUAUCUGCCAGAUACUUGGGGCAAUUGCGCUUCCAGUGACCCAUACCCUUGCAAUAGUAACACUCCAUUUCAGGCUUAGGUCCAGCUUUGGGUUUCUUCGACGGAUUGGCAACAGGCUUGCCGCUCUUCUUCGAAUUGCCCUUUUUGCCUUUGCCGUUUCUCUUGAAACUAGUGGUCUUAUUCACCAUCAACACUUGAUGCUCUUUACGGAGUUCAGACUCUGCGACUUUCAGCAUCGCAAACAACUCGCCGGGAGACUUGUUCAUCCCUUGCAUGUUGUAGUUCAACACAAAGCCUUAAUAGCUUGGCGGCAGUGAUUGAAGGAUUCUGUCAGUGAUAGCCUGUUGCGGGAGUUCAAUCCCCAGCUCAGCUAGACGGUUUGAGUACCCAGACAUUUUGAGCACAUGUUCACUGACAGACGAGUUUUCCUCCAUCUUGCAAGCAUAGAAUUUAUCGGAGGUCUCAUACCUCUCGAUCCGGGCGUUCUUCUGAAAGAUAAACUUCAACUCAUGGAACAUCUCAAAUGCUCCAUGACGCUCAAAGCAACGUUGAAGUCCCGGUUCUAAGCCAUACAAGACUGCACAUUGAACUAUUGAGUAGUCCUCCUUACGUGCUAACCAAGCGUUCUUAACAUCCUGAUCAACCGUAGCGGGUGGUUCAUCUCCUAGCGCAGCAUUAAGGACAUAAUCCUUCUUCCCAGCUUGUAAGAUUACGAGCCCAGUCUACAAAGUUGCUUCCAUCAUCUUUCAACUUAGCUUUCUCUAGGAACGUAUUAAAAUUCAGGAUGACUGUCGCGUGAGCCAUGAUCUACAACACAAAUAUAUUCAAAGUGGACUUAGACUAUGUUCAAGAUAAUUAGAGUUUAACUUAAUCAAAUUAUGUGCUAAACUCCCACUCAAAAAGUACAUCUCUCUAGUCAUUUGAGUGGUUCAUGAUCCACUUACACUAUCCCAAGUCCGAUCAUCACGUGAGUUGAGUAUAGUUUCAGUGGUAAGCAUCCCUAUGCUAAUCAUAUCAACUAUAUGAUUCAUGAUCGACCUUUCGGUCUCAUGUGUUCCGAGGCCAUGUCUGCACAUGCUAGGCUCAUCAAGCUUAACCCGAGUGUUCCGCGUGCGCAACUGUUUUGCACCCGUUGUAUGUGAACGUUGAGUCUAUCACACCUGAUCAUCACGUGGUGUCUCGAAACGACGAACUGUAGCAACGGUGCACAGUCGGGGAGAACACAAUUUCGUCUUGAAAUUUUAGUGAGAGAUCACCUCAUAAUGCUACCGUCGUUCUAAGCAAAAUAAGGUGUAUAAAAGGAUUAACAUCACAUGCAAUUCAUAAGUGACAUGAUAUGGCCAUCAUCACGUGCUUCUUGAUCUCCAUCACCAAAGCACCGGCACGAUCUUCUUGUCACCGGCGCCACACCAUGAUCAUCCAUCAACGUGUUGCCAGUCGGGGUUGUCGUGCUACUCAUGCUAUUACUACCAAAGCUGCAUCCUAGCAAAAUAGUAAACGCAUCUGCAAGCACAAACGUUAGUAUAAAGACAACCCUAUGGCUCCUGCCGGUUGCCGUACCAUCGACGUGCAAGUCGAUAUUUCUAUUACAACAUGAUCAUCUCAUACAUCCAAUAUAUCACAUCACAUCGCUGGCCAUAUCACAUCACAAGCAUACCCUGCAAAAACAAGUUAGACGUCCUCUAAUUUUGUUGUUGCAUGUUUUACGUGGUGACCAAGGGCAUCUAGUAGGAUCGCAUCUUACUUACGUAAACACCACAACGGAGAUAUAUGAGUUGCUAUUUAACCUCAUCCAAGGACCUCCUCGGUCAAAUCCGAUUCAACUAAAGUUGGAGAAACCGUCACUUGCCAGUCAUCUUUGAGCAAAGGGGGUUACUCGUAACGAUGAAACCAGUCUCUCGUAAGCGUACGAGUAAUGUCGGUCCAAGCCGCUUCAAUCCACAAUACCGUGGAAUCAAGAAAAGACUAAGGAGGGCAGCAAAACGCACAUCACCGCCCACAAAAACUUUUGUGUUGUACUCGAGAAGACAUCUACGCAUGAACCUAGCUCUGAUACCACUGUUGGGGAACGUCGCAUGGGAAACAAAAAUUUUCCUACGCGCACGAAGACCUAUCAUGGUGAUGUCCAUCUACGAGAGGGGAUGAGUGAUCUACGUACCCUUGUAGACCGUACAGCAGAAGCGUUAGAAAACGCGGUUGAUGUAGUGGAACGUCCUCACGUCCCUCGAUCCGCCCCGCGAACAAUCCCGCGAUCAGUCCCACGAUCUAGUACCGAACGGACGGCACCUCUGCGUUCAGCACACGUAUAGCUUGACGAUGAUCUCGGCCUUCUUGAUCCAGCAAGAGAGACGGAGAGGUAGAAGAGUUCUCCGGCASCGUGACGGCGCUCCGGAGGUUGGUGAUGACCUUGUCUCAGCAGGGCUCCGCCCGAGCUCCGCAGAAACGCGAUCUAGAGGAAAAACCGUGGAGGUAUGUGGUCGGGCUGCCGUGGAAAAAAAUCGUCUCAAAUCAGCCCUAAAACCUCCGUAUAUAUAGGUGGGAGGGAGGGGACCUUGCCUUGGGGCUCAAGGAGCCCCAAGGGGGUCGGCCGAGUCCAAGGGGGGAAGACUCCCCCCCCCAAACCYGAGUUGGACUUGGUUUGGUGGGAGGGAGUCCUUCCCUUCCUUCCCACCUCCUCCUUUUUUCCUUUUCUCUUGAUUUUCUCUUCUUGGCGCAUAGGGCCCUUUUGGGCUGUCCCACCAGCCCACUAAGGGCUGGUGUGCCACCCUCAAGGCCUAUGGGCUUCCCCGGGGUGGGUUGCCCCCCCCCCCCCCGGUCGAACUCCCGGAACCCAUUCGUCAUUCCCGGUACAUUCCCGGUAACUCCGAAAACCUUCCGGUAAUCAAAUGAGGUCAUCCUAUAUAUCAAUCUUCGUUUCCGGACCAUUUCGGAAACCCUCGUGACGUCCGUGAUCUCAUCCGGGACUCUGAACAACAUUCGGUAACCAACCAUAUAACUCUAAUACGCAUAAAACAACGUCGAACCUUAAGUGUGCAGACCCUGCGGGUUCGAGAACUAUGCAGACAUGACCCGAGAGACUCCUCGGUCAAUAUCCAAUAGCAGGACCUGGAUGCCCAUAUUGGAUCCUACAUAUUCUACGAAGAUCUUAUCGUUUGAACCUCAGUGCCAAGGAUUCAUAUAAUCCCGUAUGUCAUUCCCUUUGUCCUUCGGUAUGUUACUUGCCCGAGAUUCGAUCGUCAGUAUCCGUAUACCUAUUUCAAUCUCGUUUACCGGCAAGUCUCUUUACUUGUUCCGUAAUACAAGAUCCCGCAACUUACAUUAAGUUACGUUGCUUGCAAGGCUUGUGUGUGAUGUUGCAUUACCGAGUGGGCCCCGAGAUACCUCUCCGUCACACGGAGUGACAAAUCCCAGUCUCGAUCCAUACUAACUCAACUAACACGUUCGGAGAUACCUAUAGAGCAUCUUUAUAGUCACCCAGUUACGUUGCGACGUUUGAUACACACAAAGCAUUCCUCCGGUGUCAGUGAGUUAUAUGAUCUCAUGGUCAUAGGAAUAAAUACUUGACACGCAGAAAACAGUAGCAACAAAAUGACACGAUCAACAUGCUACGUCUAUUAGUUUGGGUCUAGUCCAUCACGUGAUUCUCCUAAUGACGUGAUCCAGUUAUCAAGCAACAACACCUUGUUCAUAAUCAGAAGACACUGACUAUCUUUGAUCAACUAGCUAGCCAACUAGAGGCUUGCUAGGGACGGUGUUUUGUCUAUGUAUCCACACAUGUAAAUGAGUCUUCAUUCAAUACAAUUAUAGCAUGGAUAAUAAACGAUUAUCUUGAUACAGGAAUUAUAAUAAUAACUAUAUUUAUUAUUGCCUCUAGGGCAUAAUUCCAACAGAACAAGUACCCCUUGCCGAUGAUCAAUGAUCUGUUUGAUCAGUUAGUUGGAGCUCGCGUAUUCUCAAAGAUCGAUCUUCGAUCCGGGUAUCAUCCGCUGAAGAUUCGUGAACAGGAUAUACCCAAGACAGCCUUCACCACUUGGUACGGCUUGUAUGAGUACACGGUCAUGUCAUUUGGACUGACUAAUGCUCCGGCAUAUUUUAUGAAUCUGAUGAACAAUGUAUUUAUGGAAUACUUGGACAAGUUUGUCGUGGUGUUCAUCGAUGACAUACUGAUAUUCUCCAAGAACGAAGAGGAACACAAGGAACAUCUGCAUCUAGUUCUGGAGAAGCUUCGAGAGCAUAAGCUAUAUGCAAAGUUCAGCAAAUGUGAGUUUUGGUUGAAGGAAGUGGGAUUCCUCGGACACGUCAUCUCAGGAGAAGGAAUAGCAGUGGACCCUGCCAAGGUCGCAGCAGCCACCGAAUGGGUAGCACCCACUUCAGUCAAGGAGAUCCGCAGUUUCCUCGGACUUGCCGGAUAUUACCGGAGGUUCAUUGAGAAUUUAUCAAAGAUUGCCAAGCCCAUGACAGAGUUGUUAAAGAAGGAAUCCAAGUAUAUUUGGACCGAGGAAUGUGAAACCAGUUUUCAAGAGCUGAAGAAACGUCUUGUUACAGCCCCAGUGCUGAUAUUGCCGAACAUUCGGAAGGAUUUCCAGGUUUACUGUGACGCUUCUCAUCAAGGACUUGGAGGAGUGCUCAUGCAAGAAGGUAAAGUUGUAGCCUAUGCAUCCAGACAGCUCAAACCUCAUGAGUUGAAUUAUGCCACACAUGACUUGGAACUAGCAGCCGUAGUGCACGCUCUCAAGACCUGGAGACAUUUCCUGAUCGGAAAUAGUUGUGAUGUUUACACUGAUCACAAGAGCCUGAAAUAUAUCUUCACACAGAAGGAGUUGAACCUCAGACAGAGGCGAUGGCUAGAGUUGAUCAAGGACUAUGACAUGAGAUUGCAUUAUCACCGAGGCAAGGCAAAUGUUGUAGCCGAUGCGUUGAGCCGCAAGAGUUAUGUGAACACGCUCACAGCACGAGGAUUACCCCAGGAGUUAGUCGAUGACCUCUGAGGGCUCAAAUUGGAAAUAAUUCCAAAAGGAUUUGUUGCCACUCUGGAAAUUCAGUCUACUUUGACGGAAAAGAUCCGCAAAGCACAGAAAUCAGACAAGGAGAUAGCUGAGAUUAAACAGAAAAUGGAAGACGGGAAAGCUAAAGGUUUUCGUAAGGAUGAACACGGAACUUUAUGGUUUGAGGAUCGCAUCUAUGUGCCCAAUGAUCCCGAACUCAGGAAGUUGAUACUUCAGGAAGCCCAUGAUUCCCCGUACUCGAUACACCCCGGUAACACCAAGAUGUAUCUGGAUCUGAAAGAAAGUUUCUGGUGGACAGGAUUGAAGAAAGACAUUGCCGAGUACGUAGCUAUAUGCGAUGUUUGUCAGCGAGUAAAAGCCGAGCAUCAGAAGCCAGCAGGUUUGCUCCAACCUCUGUCGAUACCCGAAUGGAAAUGGGAAAAGCUUGGAAUGGACUUCAUCACAGGAUUACCCAGGACCCGUUCUGGUUAUGAUUCUAUUUGGGUUGUGGUCGAUCGUUUGACCAAGGUAGCUCACUUCAUUCCGGUGAAGACUACUUACACGAGUGCCAAGCUGGCCAAGAUAUAUAUGACGAGGAUCGUAUGUCUGCACGGAGUACCGAAGAGCAUUGUGUCCGAUAGAGGGACUCAGUUCACAUCAAAAUUUUGGCACCAACUGCAUGAAACCUUGGGAACAAGAUUGGAGUUCAGUACAGCUUUUCACCCGCAGACAGAUGGACAGACCGAGAGAGUCAAUCAGAUUCUGGAGGACAUGUUGAGAGCUUGCGCAGUAGACUAUGGGUCUAGUUGGGAUGACAAUUUACCAUAUGCCGAGUUCUCAUACAACAACAGCUACCAGACCAGUCUGAAGAUGGCCACUUUCGAAGCUCUAUACGGAAGGAGGUGCAGAACACCGUUGAUGUGGGAUGGAGUUGGAGACCGACAACUUUUUGGUCCCGACCUUAUCCGAGAUUCUAAAGAGAAGGUCAAGCUUAUUCGUGACAGACUCAAGAUAGCUCGGUCCAGGCAGAAGACUUAUGCUGACAGCAAACGCAAGGAAGUAACGUACGAAGUGGGAGACCGAGCAUAUCUUCGGGUGUCUCCACUUCGAGGAAUCAAGAGAUUCGGUGUGAAAGGAAAAUUAGCACCACGUUUCAUUGGCCCCUACAAAAUUCUUGAACGUAGAGGCGAAGUUGCAUACAAACUGGAACUGCCGGAAGGAUUGUCCGGAGUUCAUGAUGUCUUCCAUGUUUCCCAGUUGAAGAAAUGCCACGCUGAGAUGGCCGGUGUUCCGUUGAGAGAUACAGUGCCCCUAGAGGCCAUACAGCUUGACAAUGAUCUGACGUAUGAGGAGAAACUCGUCCGGAUUCUCGAGACUGCCAACAGAGUUACCCGCAGUAAAAUCAUCAAGUUCUGCAAGGUGUUGUGGAGCCACCACACCGAGGAAGAAGCCACCUGGGAACGAGAAGAGGAUCUUCGUCGAGACCACCCGCACCUAUUUUCUAGCCAACCCGAAUCUCGAGGGCGAGAUUCAUCUUAAGGUGGGUAGGUUNNNNNNNNNNNNNNNNNNNNNNNNNNNNNNNNNNNNNNNNNNNNNNNNNNNNNNNNNNNNNNNNNNNNNNNNNNNNNNNNNNNNNNNNNNNNNNNNNNNNCCACGUGUCAUUUCUAGUAGGGGAAAACGUAGCCAUCCUUUUAGGGGGUCGAAGUGCAUCUUCCUCAAAAAAGAAUAAAUGGGUCAAGUGUAUCACGCACGUACAUUUGGGUCGAUAUGGAUGGUGUGUGUGCUCUUGUCCAGAAACAGGAAUAUUUGAUGCCCAUAAACAUUUAUAGAGUUUAUACGUUUCUAACGUUCCUGGAAUAUCAGAGAUUCGACUUGUGUCCUUACUUGCCCUCAUGUGCAGGUUAAAGCACUAUGCGAGAAGGCUAAGGAGAUCUUGAUGGAGGAAAGCAAUGUUCAGGUAUCACAUACUAUCGGUUCUUAUCUCACUGCUGCGCAGUGUAUCAUUCGUUAUACAUGCAAUUGGUAUCUUCCUAGCUGCUUCUAAAGGUUGUUUUGAACUUAGUAUACUGUCUUGGAUCUUGGCACUGCGUUUGAGCAACAGCAUCCUCAUUUUAUUGUUCAGAUAGCUGUUUCCUUUAUUCAGUCCAAUGUGUCAAGGCUCAAGGGCAUUCUGAUCAAUAAUUUGACUUUAAAUAAAUUCAGUUAUAUCCUAUUAUUUGGUGUUUUUUCCCAACCCAUAAAUAGGCAAUUGCUGAUGCUAAAAUGAAAUAUAGUUACUUAAAGUCUUCUUCUUUCACAUCCAUUUGAUCUACUUAAUUGUUAUCUCAUUUGUAAAUCAUGAAAUAAUGCAAGGUUCCACUCUGAUACUUAACAAUGUAUUUAUACAAACAUCAUCUGAAAUUAUUUACAUGUAUGGGUGCAUCGGCAGAUAAGCAUUGGCUUUAAGCUUUUACAUUUUUUUGUUACGCAGCCAGUCAAAAGCCCAGUGACAAUCUGUGGUGAUAUUCACGGACAAUUCCAUGAUCUUGUUGAGCUUUUCCGGAUUGGUGGGAAGGUAUUACUUUUGUUAGCUCAUCUUCAUUUAUUUAUUCCUACCUUGCUUUAAAAAUAUGCAGCGAACAUUGCACAAAUGGUUAACCUUUUUCUCAUGCAGUGUCCAGAUACUAAUUAUUUGUUUAUGGGGGAUUAUGUGGAUCGUGGAUACUACUCUGUCGAGACUGUUUCUGUAAGAAUCAACCUACUCAUGUUCAUCACCAUCUGUUCUUCAUCCAGUCUGCAAAAAAUCUUUCUAGUGGAGUUUUGCUUAAUCAGUAUUCUUUCCAAUGACACUAUGUUCGGAUUCAUGUUAUAUGUACUUAAUGAUAUUUCUUGUCCAGCUCUUGGUAGCACUGAAGGUUCGCCAUCCACAUCGGAUUACAAUCCUCCGUGGAAACCAUGAGAGUCGACAGGUACUAUUAGAUAUUAUCUUCCCAAUGCUUGUGUGUUGAUGUUUGUACCUCAGCAGCUGUCAUUAUUGCAGUUUGAAUGGAAAAUUGAGCAGGCUUCUCUGUUUUGAAUCUUGCAUCUCCUGUUUUAUGCAUAAUUUGCUCUAUUAGAAUUUCGAUGCUAUUGUAGUGAUUCAUUUGUCAUGUAUUUUUGUUCUCAAACUGAAAGUAUGUUUCCACAAUGGUUACAGAUCACACAAGUAUAUGGAUUCUACGAUGAAUGCCUACGAAAGUGAGUUUACUUAAUCUUAUUCCAGGUCUAGUCUGUUCUAUAUUUACUUAAUCUUAUGGCUCCAGCUGUGCUAAAAAAUCUGUGCUUGUUCAAUCUGAUCCUAGUUGUCUGUUAAUUCUGGAGUUCUUGUCUUAUUCUCAUAUAUAGUUGUGCCAUGUGUUGAUGCAUGUGAAUCUAGUUGGCAUCAUCUAUUCAUGUGUCAUUUAUACCUGCAUUUGUAGAGAUUCCUUACAUUAGUAUUGACAUUGUGUUGAUUGCAUACAAAUUACUCCCUUCGUACCUAAAUAAUUGUAGUUGGGAAGAACUAGUUUUGUUCUCUCCANNNNNNNNNNNNNNNNNNNNNNNNNNNNNNNNNNNNNNNNNNNNNNNNNNNNNNNNNNNNNNNNNNNNNNNNNNNNNNNNNNNNNNNNNNNNNNNNNNNNCUAGAGGCAAUAAUAAAUAUAGUUAUUAUUAUAAUUCCUGUAUCAAGAUAAUCGUUUAUUAUCCAUGCUAUAAUUGUAUUGAAUGAAGACUCAUUUACAUGUGUGGAUACAUAGACAAAACACUGUCCCUAGCAAGCCUCUAGUUGGCUAGCCAGUUGAUCAAAGAUAGUCAGUGUCUUCUGAUUAUGAACAAGGUGUUGUUGCUUGAUAACUGGAUCACGUCAUUAGGAGAAUCACGUGAUGGACUAGACCCAAACUAAUAGACGUAGCAUGUUGAUCGUGUCAUUUUGUUGCUACUGUUUUCUGCGUGUCAAGUAUUUAUUCCUAUGACCAUGAGAUCAUAUAACUCACUGACACCGGAGGAAUGCUUUGUGUGUAUCAAACGUUGCAACGUAACUGGGUGACUAUAAAGAUACUCUACAGGUAUCUCCGAAGGUGUUAGUUGAGUUAGUAUGGAUCGAGACUGGGAUUUGUCACUCCGUGUGACGGAGAGGUAUCUCGGGGCCCACUCGGUAAUGCAACAUCACACACAAGCCUUGCAAGCAAUGUAACUUAAUGUAAGUUGCGGGAUCUUGUAUUACGGAACGAGUAAAGAGACUUGCCAGUAAACGAGAUUGAAAUAGGUAUACGGAUACUGACGAUCGAAUCUCGGGCAAGUAACAUACCGAAGGACAAAGGGAAUGACAUACGGGAUUAUACGAAUCCUUGGCACUGAGGUUCAAACGAUAAGAUCUUCGUAGAAUAUGUAGGAUCCAAUAUGGGCAUCCAGGUCCCGCUAUUGGAUAUUGACCGAGGAGUCUCUCGGGUCAUGUCUACAUAGUUCUCGAACCCGCAGGGUCUGCACACUUAAGGUUCGACGUUGUUUUAUGCGUAUUUGAGUUAUAUGGUUGGUUACCGAAUGUUGUUCGGAGUCUCGUAUGAGAUCACGGACGUCACGAGGGUUUCCGGAAUGGUCCGGAAACGAAGAUUUAUAUAUAGGAUGACCUCAUUUGAUUACCGGAAGGUUUUCGGAGUUACCGGGNNNNNNNNNNNNNNNNNNNNNNNNNNNNNNNNNNNNNNNNNNNNNNNNNNNNNNNNNNNNNNNNNNNNNNNNNNNNNNNNNNNNNNNNNNNNNNNNNNNNCUCUUUGCCUGCUAAUCAGGUGCAGCAGGGCCUCUACUCUCCCAACACAAUGCCAACUCUCACCCUCAUCACUCCAUCACAGCCUCUAAACUCCUAAACCAUCAAACAUGGCCUGAAGGAAUAAACCCUAGCCUGUCGAUUACUACAACAUUAUCCUUGAUAAACACACUACUUGGCCAAGACCGAGUACAAUACAGUGCAUACUCACACCCUCGUAUAUAGAGAGGUUUGCUUGGCUAUAAAAACCCAUUGGACCUACUCUCUCCCAACCCAAUGCCAACUCACACCCUCGUCACUCCAGUGCAUACUCCAAUUUCCUGAAUGAACAAACAUGGUAUGAAAGAUUAAACCCUAGCUGGACGGCUACUAAAGUGUUCUCUUUCGGAAACACAUUACCCGGCCUAGACCGAGUAGAAUACAGUGCCUUGCCCCACCACCACGAGCUUAUUGCGGGACCCCGACUACAGAGCACGUGCAAGGGUCGUUACCUCCCCUUAAAACUAAAGUGUGACGCAAGGGUGUGAGGACUUCUCCUUUCGACGAUUGCUUUUAUUUGGAAUAUUAAGCUAUUAAUUUGUUGAUGUUAUUUCCUCUGGUUUGACUAUUAUGAAUGCUAAUUAUGUGACCUUGAUUACUCUCGUCUUUACAUCAUUAUCCUCUGGUUUGACUAUUAUGAAUGUUAAUUAUGUACUAAUCUCACCAGUUUACCAUUACUAGCUUUGCAAGUGUUCAUACUUCAUCGCAUGAGUUUUUAUUACCAAAAUUAUGUUCUUGAUGUUCAAAAUUCAUGUGCUUCACGUGAUCAUUAUUAGUAAGUCUACUUAUUUCACCAUCUAACUAAAAAUGAAGAAAUCCUCCGACACAGACAUUNNNNNNNNNNNNNNNNNNNNNNNNNNNNNNNNNNNNNNNNNNNNNNNNNNNNNNNNNNNNNNNNNNNNNNNNNNNNNNNNNNNNNNNNNNNNNNNNNNNNCAUAGACCAAGUACAAUACAGGCGUYCCCCGGUACACCCACUAGAAUGUCCCUUACUAGGGGACCCGACUGAAGGGCAUUUGUCAUGGUAAUUACCGCACAUUAAAACCAAAGCAUGAGAUGGGGGUGUGAGGAUUUCUCCUUACCGCGAUUGCUUUUAUUCAAAAUAGUAUGCUAUGAAUUUGUCAAUGUUCUUUCCCGUGUUUAUUGCGGUAUUAUCAUUUAGUGAAUGUAUAUGGGCCAAUGAAAAAUUAAAGCUUUGGACCUCCGCAACUCACAUAAUUCAAUUAUUUUAUUUCUAGCAUUGUUUUUAAGGCGUCCCUAAGGCAACCUCAGGCAUCAAGGCGCUCCCGGGUCAUAAAGCUUCGACCUUGCCUUAGGCACAUGCUUAAGGUGUCCAUAUUAGGUCAUAGGACGUCCAAGUUAUCCGUCUAGGCAUCAAUGUGCCCACCUUAAACAAAUCUAGACUCGUCAGCGAGGAGCGGGGACGCGGGAAUAAGGACUUCUCCUUUCUGCAAUUGCUUUUAUUGAGAAAAGUAUGCUACUAAUUUGUCGAUGUUCUUUUGAGUGUUUAUUGCGAUAUUACCAUUUAGUAAAUGUAUAUAGGCCUACAAAAAAAUUAAAAGUUUCAAACCUUCGUAAUUCAUAGAAUUUACUUAUCUUCUUUCUAGCACUGUUUUAAAGGUGCUCAUAAAUGGUCACCAAGGUAACCCUUAGGCGUUAGGGCGAUCCUGCUGAUGCAACAAAAGACCUUCCAACGGUGCCAGAAACACGUGCUGACGGCAGACUGUCUUGAUUCUCCUCAGCAACGGCACCAGGAAUCCUUCUGCUACGGCUACGCCUUUAGGGACUUACUAGGCAAAUAUGCAAAGGAUUUCCCCGUGGUCUUCGAUCCUUGCAUUGGUGUUCCCUCGAAGCGGAAAGGGUGAUGUAGCACAGCGGUGGUAAGUAUUUCCCUCAGUUUUGAGAACCAAGGUAUCGAUCUAGUGAAGGAGUAUCACAAGUGCCUGCACAAACACAAAAAAGCUUGCUCCCAACGCUAUGAAGGGGUUGUCAAUCCCUUACAGAUUGUUUGCCAAGUGAGAACUGAAAGCAACAAAGUAACAAAGCAAAGUAAAAGCGGAGGUGUAAACGAUGGGUGUGAAUAGACCCGGGGGCGUAGUGUUCACUAGUGGCUUCUCUCAUGAAAGCAAGUAGACGGUGGGUGAACGAAUUACUGUCGAGCAAUUGAUAGAACCGGGCAAAGUCGUGACGUCAUCUAUGACAAUGAUUAUAUCUAUAGGCAUCACGUCUAAAACAAGUAGACCGAUACUUUCUGCAUCUACUACUAUUACUCCACACGUCGACCGCUAUCCAGCAUGCAUCUAGUGUAUUAAGUCCAAAAGAACAGAGUAACACCUUAAGCAAGAUGACAUGAUGUAGAUGGACAAUCUCAUAUCUAUGACAAAGCCCACCUUGUUACCCUUGAUGGCACCUAUCCCCUGUGUGCCUUGCUGCCCCUAGUGUCACUGGAAAAGGUCACCACACGGUAAGAACCCAAAACCAAGCACUUCUCCCGUUGCAAGAAUCAUAGAUCUAGUUGGCCAAACAAAACCCAAGACUCGGAGAGACUUACAAGGAUAUCAAAUCAUGCAUAUAAGAAGUCAGCAAAGACUCAAAUAUAUAUCAUAGAUAAUCUAAUCACAAAUCCACAAUUCAUCGGAUCUCGACAAACACACCGCCAAAGAGGAUUACAUCGGAUAGAUCUCCAUGAAGAUCAUGGAGAACUUUUUAUUGAAGAUCCAAGAGAGAGAAGAAGCCAUCUAGCUACUAACUACGGACCCGUAGGUCUUAAGUGAACUACUCACGAGUCAUUGGAGGGGCGAUGAUGUUGAUGAAGAAGCCCUCCAACUCCAAAGUCCCCUCCGACAGGGCACCGGGAAGGGUCUCCAGAUGAGAUCUCGUGGAAACAGGAACUUGCGGCGGCGGAACUCCCGAUCUAGGUUUCUUUCUGGAGGUUUCUGAAUUUAUAGGACCAUAUGGCGGUGGAGUUGCAUCAAGUGGGCCCCCGAGGGGCCCACGACCUUGAUUGGCGCGACCUAGGGGGUCGCGGCGACAGGGCUUGUGGCGCCCUCGGGACCCCCCUCUGGUAUCUUUUUCUUCCGGUAUUUUUGAUAUUUUCUAUAAAAAAUCAUCGCGAAAGAAUUAUUCCGUUUGGACUCCGUUCCAAAAUCAGAUCUGAAAAGAAUCAAAAACACAGAAAAAACAGGAACUCGCGCUUGGCACUGAGUUAAUAAGUUAGUCCCUAAAAGAUAUAAAGGUAAACAAAAUAUCCAAAGUUGAUCAGAUAACAGCGUGAAACCAUAAAAAAUUAUAGAUACGUUUGAGACGUAUCUGUUGGGUAACGUAGCAUAAAUUCAAAAUUUUCCUACGCAUAUUCAGAUCUUCCUAUGGAGAGACCAGCAACGAGAGAGGGGUAAGAGCAUCUUCAUACCUUUGAAGAUCUCUAAGCGGAAGCGUUGCUAGAACGCGGUUGAUGGAGUCGUACUCGCAGCGAUUCCGAUCUAGUGCCGAACUACGGCACCUCCGCGUUCAACACACGUGGAGCCCGGUGACGUCUCCCGCACCUUGAUCCAGCAAGGAGGAGGGAGAGGUUGGGGAAGAACUCCAACAGCACGACGACGUGGUGUCGAUGGAGAGACGAGGUCUCCCGGCAGGGCUUCGCCAAGCACCGGCAGAGAGGAGGAGGAAGAAGGGCAGGGCUGCGCCGAGGGAGAGGGAGAAGUCUAUCUCCCAAGGGCCAAAACCCCUCUCUAUUUAUAGGAGGAGGGGAGGGGGUGCGCCACCCCUAGGGUUCCCCCCUAGGUGGUACGGCAGCCACCAGAUGGGAAAGGGGGCGGCGGCUAGGGUGGGAGGGGGUGGCGCACAACCUGGUGGGCCUAAGGCCCACCUGUGCCUAGGGUUUGCCCCCCCCUUCCCUCUCCCCUGCGCAUUGGGCUAAGUGGGGAGGCGCACCAGCCCACCUAGGGCUGGUUCCCCUCCCCCACUUGGCCCACCUUACCUCCCGGGGUUGUUCGCCCCCCCUUUCGGGUGGGACCCCCCGGGGCCACCUCCGGUGUCCGAAACACUUCCGGUGUCCGAAACCAUCCGUCCUAUAUAUCAAUCUUUACCNNNNNNNNNNNNNNNNNNNNNNNNNNNNNNNNNNNNNNNNNNNNNNNNNNNNNNNNNNNNNNNNNNNNNNNNNNNNNNNNNNNNNNNNNNNNNNNNNNNNGACCUAUCAUGGUGAUGUCCAUCUACGAGAGGGGAUGAGUGAUCUACGUACCCUUGUAGACCGUACAGCAGAAGCGUUAGAGAACGCGGUUGAUGUAGUGGAACGUCCUCACGUCCCUCGAUCCGCGCCGCGAAUAAUCCCGCGAUCAGUCCCACGAUCUAGUACCGAACGGACGGCACCUCCGCGUUCAGCACACGUACAGCUCGACGAUGAUCUCGGCCUUCUUGAUCCAGCAAGUGAGACGGAGAGGUAGAAGAGUUCUCCGGCAGCGUGACGGCUCUCCGGAGGUUGGUGAUGACCUUGUCUCAGCAGGGCUCCGCCCGAGCUCCGCAGAAACGCGAUCUAGAGGAAAAACCGUGGAGGUAUGUGGUCGGGCUGCCGUGGAAAAAAAAUUGUCUCAAAUCAGCCCUAAAACCUCUGUAUAUAUAGGUGGGAGGGAGGGGGCCUUGCCUUGGGGCUCAAGGAGCCCCAAGGGGGUCGGCCGAGUCCAAGGGGGAGGACUCCUCCCCCCCCCCCCAAACCGAGUUGGACUACGUUUGGUGGGAGGGAGUCCCCCUUCCUUCCCACCUCCUCCUAUUUUUCUCUCUCUUGUAUUUUCUUCUCCUUGGUGCANNNNNNNNNNNNNNNNNNNNNNNNNNNNNNNNNNNNNNNNNNNNNNNNNNNNNNNNNNNNNNNNNNNNNNNNNNNNNNNNNNNNNNNNNNNNNNNNNNNNCGUCUCCUUCCCGCGCCGCGGCCGCGCCUCGCGGCCAUGCACCGCCGCGCGGUACUGGCCGCGGCCUCGUCCAGGCCCCYYCCCCCUCCCGCCCGCCGUCCCCGGACGGGAGGGGGACGGAGGAGGUGGAGAGGGCCAUGGGGAUGGACGGCGGCAUCCCGGGAACCUCCGGGGAGCUGCUGCGCCGCGUCUCCUCCCGCGCCUACGGCAUGCGCCGCCACCUCAUGGAGUCGCUCGACUCCCUCGCCUACGACGGUACGAGUCCUCCAGAGUCCAGAUCAUUAGCCCUUUCCUGGAUCGCGUUCUCACUGGCUCGAUUUUCCCAGGGUAUAUCUUUAGCGAUUUCAGUUAGAUAGAUUUAUGGUUGGUGAAUGGUGAUCGGCAGGUUUAGGUUCCCGCGUCUAGUGCUUGAUGAAAUGCCUAGUCGAAACUCCAGAAUCCUGAGUACACGAUAUUUGUGUGUACUUUAGAAUUGCGUGCCGCGAUGAACCUUAAGUUGAGCAAAGAGCAACUCCCGUUUGAGGCUUGUACGUUCACACUUUACCCUGUUUCGAGAAUUGCGUGCUUUGAGGUGGUAUUGGGAGUCAGUGGGACUGCGUAUGCUCAUAUGUACACGCUAUUAUCAACGCUUGCAGUCACGUUUCCUCAUUCUUUUUCGUAUUGCCUUUGCAUCGAAUGCUGAAUCGAUAUAUCUGCUAGCUAUGGUUGUGCUUGUGCUGCUUUCUGUAGCGCCGCAAACUAGGCCUAGUUGUUAAAUGGCUUAAUGACUGAAGAAGGGUUAUGAACUUAUGAUGCUCUCAUGCUCACAAGUCCCAAGUCACAAAUAACACCAUAAGGUUAAAACCAUAAAAAGUGACCUUGUUCUUCCGUUUAUCCAAGUAAUCCUUGUGAUGAACUAACAGUAGUUGUCCUUCAAAUGCGGAAGUUUGAAUGUUUACUAACUGUGCCAUGUCGUCAUGAUGGUUCAGUGUUGGAGACAAACCCAUGGAGGGAACAACAGCCCAAGCCAGUCUACGUCCUGGCUAGAAGAGACAAUCAACUAUGGACGAUGAAAACCCGCAGGAACCGCAGGUUAGAAUUUUUCUUGCUAUUGUUAAUGGUAAUUAGUUGGUCAUAAUUGGGUGGAUUAUGAGCACGGUCUCAUCAUGUAAUAUGCUCUGCAGUGAAGUUGAAAGGGAACUUGGAAUGCUUUUCUCAAAGGGAGGGGGCUCAGGAGUUGGGACUAAAUCCAAGUACUCUGGCUCCAAGUUUAGCAUGGUCGUUGAAGAUCUGACAGAGGGUGUGCUGGUGAGUAGUUAGUAAAAUGAGUGUUUGUUUAGACAUGUUCUUGAAAGUCAGCCAACUGUCCUGCCUUUUGAUGUCCUUUGGUCUUAUAGUGCAUAUUUUGGGUUCAUUUUUUUCGACAAAGAUAUUUUGGGUUCAUGGGAAUGUGACUUCUAAAUAAGUAAAUGGGGGCUAUAAAGAAGGACCAGGGAUUGGUCAAAUGGAGCUGGAUUAAAUGUAGGGUAUUCAUUAUAUAUAUUCUGAAGAAUGGUAGAUUAUGCAUAUUGUUCAUGACUGUAGGGUUCCCUAAUUGUAUACCAUAUUACCAUGGUCAUCUGUUUGAAGAACCAAAAGGACAAUACGAAAUUGUGCAGUCUAAGAAAGAGACUAUUCAAUAUCAGUGAUGAUGUAUUUAUGGAACUAGAAGUCGUCCGAUGGAGAGUGUGUGCUUGCCGUCAGGCAACAUACACGGACUAUAAGCGUUAUUAUAGGACCAUAUGAACAGUUCAACAUCGAUUAACCUUUCCACACCCCAAAAAGGAACGAUCGAUCUAUCAAUGCGGUGAACCUUAUUUGAGCUUAGCAUACCGAUAAAUGUUUGCAUUUUAAAUGAAUUUAAAUCCUGAUGUGGUAUCACUGAGCAAGAAACAAAGAACACAUGNNNNNNNNNNNNNNNNNNNNNNNNNNNNNNNNNNNNNNNNNNNNNNNNNNNNNNNNNNNNNNNNNNNNNNNNNNNNNNNNNNNNNNNNNNNNNNNNNNNNGCUUGGGGGAGUUGCCCGGUAUCGUAUCACCAUCACAUCUUUUGCCUUUACCUUUUCUUAGUUUCGAUCCUUUUUGGUUUUAUCUUUCUCUAGUAUAAUAAAGUUUUUAGUGUUUUAGGCUUGAGUUUUGCUUUGUGUCACCCCCGAUGUAUUCGAGUUCAUGAGCCUUAUAAUAAAGAGUGUCUUAGUUAAGGGCCUUGCCUCAUGCCAUGAUCAAGAGAAUGAUAAAAGAACAAAAGCAUGAAAGAUCAUGUAAUGAUCUUAUGGGAAGUGAUGGCUUCAUAUAUAAAAAGAAUGUUGAUUGAAACUUGUUGAGGGUGGACAAACGUAGACCUUGGUCAUUGUUGCAAUUAAUAGGAAGUGGUAAAGAAGGAGAGGUUCACAUAUAAAUAUAUCAUCUGACACCAUCUAUGAUUGUGAACACUCAUUAAACUAUUACAUGCUUAGAAGUAGAUGUUGGACAAGGAAGAGACCAUAAUGAAUUAUGUUUGCUUGGUUCCGAACAAUGAUUAUAUGACUAGAGAUCCCUUAGCAUGUGACGAUUGCUUCCACCUCAUAUCAGCCAAAACUCCCGCACCAAGUAGAGAUACUACUUGUGCAUCCACAAACCUUCAACCCCAGUUUUGCCAUGAGAGUCCACCAUACCUACCUAUGGAUUGAAGAAGAUCCCUCAGGUAAGUUGUCAUCGGUGCAAGCAAUAAAAAUUGCUCCCUAAAUAUGUAUGAUCUAUUAGUGUGUGGAAAAUAAGCUUUGUACGAACCUGUGAUGAGGAAGACAUAAAAGCGACAGACUGCAUAAUAAAGUUCUUUAUCACAGGAGGCAAUAUAAAGUGACGUUCCUUCACACUAAGAGGACACACAUCCAAACCCAAAAGCGCAUGACAACCUCUGCUUCACUCUACGAAGGACCUAUCUUGUACCUUUACUCUUUGUCCCUAAAAGAGUCAUGUUGAUCUACACCAAUUCCUUACCUCGCCUUUAUCUUGGCUAACGUCAUAUGCUAGGGAAAUAUCUAUAUUCAUAUGUCAACUUGGAAGUAAGUAUUCAUGAAUUAUUAUUGUUGACAUUACCCUUGAGGUAAGUAGUUGGGAGGCGAAACUAUAAGCCCCUAUAUUUCUCUGUGUUCAACUGAAACUUUGAUCUCAUGAGUACCACAUGAGUUGUAGCAAUUUUAGAAGACGAAAGGAUGAUUGAGUAUGUGGAUUUGCUUUACAAUCUCUUACUUGACUCUUUCCGAUGUUAUGAUAAAUUGAAAUUGCUUCAAUGACUAAGGGUUAUCGGUUGUUAAUUCUCAUUAAAGUUCUUGAUCCAUACUUUACUUUGUGAAGGAAUUAUCACUUUAGCAUAAGAGAUUAUAUGAUGAUAGUGCUGUUCUAACUAUGAUCAUGAUGCCUACAUGUCCGUAUCUUGUUUUGUCGACACCUCUCUCCCUAAACAUGUGGGCAUAUUUAUUGAUCUCGCCUUUCGCUUGAGGACAAGCGAGGUCUAAGCUUGGGCGAGUUGAUACGUCCAUUUUGCAUCAUGCUUUCAUGUUGAUAUUUAUCGCUUUAUGGAAUGUUAUUACACUUCACGGUACAAUACUUAUGCCUUUUCUCUCUUAUUUUGCAAGGUUUACAUGAAGAGGGAGAAUGUCGGCAGCUGGAAUUCUGGCGUGAAAAAGGAGCAAGUUUGAGAUACCUAUUCUGCGCAACUCCGAAAGCCGUGAAAAUCAACGAGGAUUUAUUUUGGAAUUUAUAAAAAAUACUAGACCGAAGAAGUACCAGAGGGGAGCCAGCAGGAGGCCACAAGCCUGCUAGGCGCGGCCUACCCCCCUGGCCGCGCCUAGGGGGCUUCUGGGCUCCCUGCUGGCCCUYUMGCCCCCCCUCUUCUUUUGCUAUAAKGGAGGGUUUCGUUCCAGAAAAAAUNAGAGGAGGCGUUUCGGGUAGGGAAUCGCCGCCCNNNNNNNNNNNNNNNNNNNNNNNNNNNNNNNNNNNNNNNNNNNNNNNNNNNNNNNNNNNNNNNNNNNNNNNNNNNNNNNNNNNNNNNNNNNNNNNNNNNNAAGGAGAAGUAGGAGAAGAAGGGGAAGGAGAAGGAAAAAGAGAAGGAGAAGGAGGAGGAGGAGAAGGAGAAGAAGAAGAAGGAGAAACAACAAGAGAAGAAGGAGGAGGAGGAGAAGAAGAAGAAGAGGGUGGAGGAGGAGGAGGAGAAGAAGGUGGAGGAGCAGAAGAAGAAGAAGGAAGAGAAGGAGAAGAAGAAGAAGCAGAAGGAGGAGGAGGAGAAGGAGAAGAAGAUGAUGAUUACAAUACUUAUCUUAUUUUGAGAUUAUUAUGUCAUUUAGUAGGAAGAUAAGCUAAGUAUAUGGCAUUUAUGAGCAAACCAAGGUUCUUAUGCUAUUUUUGACCUAACUAAGCUAAUUAUGUCAUAAAUGAACUAAAUAAGCUAAUUAUGUCAUUUUGGAGGAUAAUUAGCUAAUUACGUCAUAAAUGAAAUAAAUAAGCUGAUUAUGUCAUAAAGGAACUUUAAAAAAAGGAGGUUCAAACCCCCGACCUGUGCAUCAAUCGAUGCAUAUGACCAUUUUUAUUAAUUAUUCAACACAUGUCUAACAAGAACAUAUAUCAAACCAUCUGAAGCCACCACUCGCACCUACAAAACUCGAUAAUGUGGAGUGCGCUCACUCCCCAUAUCUAAAAUCGGUGCCGUCACCGAUACAUUCACAUAACAUAUCGAAACCCACAGCCGGUGCAGCAGACCUAAAGCGUACACCACAUGCACACGUUUUAGAUGCCGCCAUCAACAUCAGGCCGCUAACCCACCCAUAUUCAGGAGAGAGAUUUGUAUCAUCCUUGACAGUCCAUCCAUCCGUCGACGCCACCAUGGCUCGUCAGUCCAGACGCGAAGAUUCUGGAAGAUCUGUCGUGCGUAGCACCUGUCGACCAGACAUGACACAACGUAGCACCUAUCGGCCAGGCGUGACUUGACAUCUCCACCGAAAGCAACGUGCAAGAUGAUCGACGCCACCAUGGCGCCUGAUACGUCCAUUUUGCAUCAUGCUGUCAUGUUGAUAUUUAUCGCUUUAUGGGCUAUUAUUACACUUCACAGUACAAUACUUAUGUCUUUUCUCUCUUAUUUUGCAAGGUUUGCAUGAAGAGGGAAAAUGUCGGCAGCUGGAAUUCUGGCCUGAAAAAGGAAGCAAGUUUGAGAUACCUAUUCUGCGCAACUCCAAAAGCCGUGAAAAUCAACGAGGAUUUAUUUUCGAAUUUAUAAAAAAACUAGGCCGAAGAAGUACCAGAGGGGAGCCAGCAGGAGGCCACAAGCUUGCUAGGCGCGGCCUAUCCCCCUGGCCGCGCCUAGGGGGCUUGUGGGCUCCCUGCUGGCCCUCUAGCCCCCCUCUUUUUCUAUAAGGAGGGUUUCGUUCCAGAAAAAAUCAAGAGGAGGCUUUCGGGAGGAAUCGCCGCCGCCAUGAGGCGGAACUUGAGCACAAACAAUCUAGAGCUAUGGCAGGGUCGUCCUGUCGGGGAAACUUCCCUCCCGGAGGGGGAAAUCGUCACCAUCGUCAUCACCAACACUCCUCUCAUCGGAGGGGACUCGUCACCAUCAACAUCUUCAUCAGCACCAUCUCAUCUCCAAACCCUAGUUCAUCUCUUGUAACCAAUCUCCGUCUCGCGACUAUGAUUGGUACUUGUAAGGUUGCUAGUAGUGUUAAUUACUCUUUGUAGUUGAUGCUAGUUGGAUUACUCGGUGGAAAAUUAUAUGUUCAGAUCCUUGAUGCUAUUCAAUACCUCUCUGGUCAUGAAUAUGAUUAUGCUUUGUGAGUAGUUACUUUUGUUCCUGAGGACAUGGGAUAAGUCAUGCUAUAAGUAGUCAUGUGAAUUUGGUAUUCGUUCGAUAUUUUGAUGUGUUGUAUGUUGUUUGUCCUCUAGUGGUGUUAUGUGAACAUCGACUACAUAACACUUCACCAUUAUUUGGGCCUAGAGGAAGGCAUUGGGAAGUAGUAAGUAGAUGAUGGGUUGCUAGAGUGAUAGAAGCUUAAACCCUAGUUUAUGUGUUGCUUCGUAAGGGGCUGAUUUGGAUCCACUAGUUUAAUGCUAUGGUUAGACUUUAUCUUAAUUCUUCUUUCGUAGUUGUGGAUGCUUGCGAGAGGGGUUAAUCAUAAGUGGGAUGUUUGUCCAAGUAAGGGCAGCACCCAAGCAUCGGUCCACCCACAUAUCAAACUAUCAAAGUAGCGAACGCGAAUCAUAUGAACAUGAUGAAAACUAGCUUGACAGAAAUUCCCAUGUGUCCUCGGGAGCGCUUUACCUCCUAUAAGAGUUUUUCCAGUCUUGUCCAUUGCUACAAAAGGGAUUGGGCCACUUUGCUUCAUCGUUGUUACUUUUGUUACUUGCUACUUGCUACGAAUCAUCUUUUCACAUAACUAUCUGUUACCGAUAAUUUCAGUGGUUGCAGAGAAUACCUUGCUGAAAACCACUUGUCAGAUCCUUCUGCUCCUCGUUGGGUUCGACACUCUUACUUAUCGAAAGGACUACGAUAGAUCCCCUAUACUUGUGGGUCAUCAGCGCCAAACAGCACCACCGCCCUGCGCUCAUUCGUCCAGACACGAAGAUUCUGGAAGAACUGUCGUGUGUAGCACCUACCAACCAGGCAUGACUCAGCGUAGCGCCUGUUGGCCAAGCAUGACUUGAUAGUUCCACCAAAUCUUUGGGCCAGACGAAGCCGCUCCAUCUCCUGCUUCUGUCAUCCAGCGCUGCUCCACAAACGAUGCUCCCAAGAGAGAAACGGCACCGCAGUACCGCCAACGUCCGAUCUGGAAAGUCAGAUCUUAGGGUUUUCCCCGAAGCAGUGCCCACCACCAGCAACUGUCCAAGACCCACAUAGUGCCCACCACCACUCAGCCCUCAAGGCGACGCCUUCAGGAAGGUCACUACGUCAAGGACGCCACCGCCGCCCACCGGAGUUAGGGCUUUCACCUGAGAGGCAGUGAGGUAGGAAGUGGAGGAGCAGACGUAGACCAACGUCUCGAGAAAGAAAAACGGCGCCCUUGAGCAUCGUCGUCGGCGCGGCCAGCCAGGGCCGACCAAUGGGUUUCCCCUUAUCUGAAUCUCCUCCACCAGCUUCAUCCGCAGCCACGCCAGCAACGCCAGGAAACCGCAGGAAAGAAGCACACCACGGGUAUCUGGAUCAAUGAAGAUCCAAUCUGAACAGUGACGAGUACCACCACCCUGCGCUGGCCGACGACAUCCGGGUGCCGGAUCCAAAAGGAUCUGACCAGAACUCGACGACGCACGCGACCACCAUGUCUUUCCCCUCUCGCAUCGGCUACACCGCGCCGCAAGAACGAACCCCAGUCGUCGAUGCGCUCCGCACGCCGCCGCUAGGAUCCACAUGCAGCGUCGCCGCACCGCGCGCUAGUACGGCGCCUCCUGACGAACAGUCGUCCCGCGCCAGCCAUGCCGUGUGAAGGGGAGAGGAUCCCCGCCACCGCCACUCUCGGCCAGGCUUCGCCCGGCAACGCUGCUGGAAGCGGGGAGGAUGAAGGAGGAGCGAGGGAGGACCGACGACGACGGCUAGGGUUACCCCUGGUAGCCCACGGGGGCGACGGGAGGCGGCAGCUAGGGUUACGGGAGAAGGCGGCGACUCAGUGGAUGCAGGCGGCGGCUAGGGUUAUGGGAGGAGGAGGCAGCGGCUCUAGGAGUCGCGUCUCCUGUUAUGGUUUCAAGUCAUAAAGGAACUAAAUAAGAUAAGUAUGUCGCAUAAUAGGGCUAACUAGCAUAUACGGAGCUAAUUAUGCAUUUGUUAAGUAUAACACUAGAGAAAAUUUACCGUCGUCGUCAUCAGCGAUGUGAAUCACCGGGGUUGCUCGGGGCGGGUUCACGUGGAGAAGGUUGUCGUGGAGAAGGGUUGUGCUAUGCUGCUCAGGAGUUAUUCUGCAUCAAAGAUAUUUUGCAAUGUCUUGUUAACAUGAUGACACUCAAAUGUUAGUCUAUUAACUAAUGAUCAUUCAAAUGGAACUCAUCGUUCCAACCGUAGAAAUGUCUGACAUCGACGAAGGGGGUCUGACCGGUCUUCUCGCACAUAGACUGCAUAUUUGGUUUUAAAGAGUCAAUUAUAUUAGUUAGUAAUAAAACGGACAUUACAUGCAUGAUUUGGCUAAUGUGAAAAAAAACUUAUCACAAGGAGUUCAUACAUGGCCCGGUGAGCCGCCUCAUUCUGUACCCUCUCCUCCUCCAACAACUGAGUCGUCUUCUCCUCCGCGGCCUGAGCCGUCUCCGCCGCCACUCGGCCUGACCUAACAACUGUGUUUGUUUUCUGGGCUUUGACACUUUCCGAGUUCGUCUAUCUCGACAUAGUCGAUGGAGUUGCGAUGUAGAUUCUUGUUGUCUUCUAGGAAUGAUGAGGUGAGGAUUUCUCGUCGUACAUGCACGACGACGAGAUUUAAUGUCAGUUGCUUCAUAUCUAUUUGAGGAUUCAACGCCGAUGACGAGUAAGUGUCCAGGGCAAUGGUCUUUAGGACACGCCUACAAAUACUUUUCAACCGUUAAAGCCGACUCUGAUAGUGGAGCGGUGAUAGUAGUGCAUUGACGACUCGUUGCGACGGUGGUAGUGGUCGUUAGGUGGACUAGAGAGCUCGAUCUUAAUUUUACUNNNNNNNNNNNNNNNNNNNNNNNNNNNNNNNNNNNNNNNNNNNNNNNNNNNNNNNNNNNNNNNNNNNNNNNNNNNNNNNNNNNNNNNNNNNNNNNNNNNNANACGCCGCAGAGAAGGCAGCAGCAGCCAAGGAGAAAGCCGGCGGCGCCACGCAGACGGCCGCGGAGAAGGCAGCGGCAGCGAAGGACGCAGCUGCCAAGAAGGCCGGCGGCGCCACGCAGACGGCCGCGGAGAAGGCAGCGGCAGCGAAGGACGCAGCUGCCAAGAAGGCCGGCGGCGCCACGCAGACAGCCGCGGAGAAGGCAGCGGCAGCGAAGGAUGCCGCAGCCGAUAAGGCCAAGGCCGCGAAGGACGCGGCGUGGGAGAAGACGGAGUCUGCCAAGGACGCCACAUGGCAGGCGCAGGAGAAGCUCAAGCAAUACAACGACGUCGCGUCGGAGAAGGCCGGGAACGUGAAGGACGCCGCUGCGGAGAAAGCCGGCACCGCCAAGCAGGCGACCGCAGAGAAGGCAGCGGCAGCCAAGGAUACGGCCGCCGAGAAGGCCGCGGCCGCGAAGGACGCCGCGUGGAAGAACGCCGAGGCGGCGAAGAGCACCGUCAGUGAGAAGGCAGGAGCGGCCAAGGACGCCACGUUGGAGAAGACGGCGUCGGCGAAGGACGCCGCGUGGGAGACGGCGGAGGCGGCCAAGGACACGGCCUGGGAGACAGCGGAGGCGGCCAAGGGGAAGGCCAACGAGGGGUACGAGAAGGUGAAGGAGAAGGUCGGAGAGGUGAAGGACAAGGUCACCGGCGCGGCAGCCGACGGCAAGGCAAAGAAGCAACGCAAGGAAGACGAGCUGUGAAUGAGCACGAUCCAUCCUCAUUUCCUGCCAUAGCUUUUCUUCCAUGAAUGUUUUUCAGUGUUGGACUAGUAUUUUUUCUCUCUUAUGUUCCUAUUGUACAAUAAUGUGACCCAUCUGUAGAGAACCUUUGCACGAUAUCGAACAAGUUUCUUCUUCAAAGUUUUUUUGGCCUGAAAGAACUUUUGAAAAAAUAUUCCUUAUGAAUUUUGUUGGGCGCCUGAAUCUUGUACUCAAAAUUGGAGCUGGGACUGUCUGUGAUGUGUACAUGAUGAACAAGACGACUAGUAUGCAUGAGCAUCUUCUUCCCAAAUCUAAUUGGAAAGAGCUGCGUCACACGAUUACCACCGGCAUGACUACGAUGAUACAUCUUAUCUUACCU
Molecule: long non-coding RNA, 54313 nt
Filed under: Hordeum vulgare
Lineage: Eukaryota; Viridiplantae; Streptophyta; Magnoliopsida; Poales; Poaceae
Description: long non-coding RNA (HVUL_LNC010981)
Source: RNAcentral